RNAcentral lists this long non-coding RNA (75925 nucleotides) under Arabidopsis lyrata. Its description in RNAcentral is "long non-coding RNA (ALYR_LNC003025)". Lineage: Eukaryota; Viridiplantae; Streptophyta; Magnoliopsida; Brassicales; Brassicaceae. The record is from RNAcentral.
UUUUAUUUUUCAAGGUUAGCUUCAUCUCACUUGACAUUUUUCUCUGUUCAAAGUAUACAGGCGAAAAAAAAAAUAAACAACUAAAUUAUUAUCGGUCCUACUAGGACUCAGUGUCCAACUUCAUUUUUUUAUAUUUUUCACACAGUAUUUUGACAAGUGAAAAUAUGUUAUAUAAACUAUAAACAAUUAUAAUUAAGAGAAUGACUUUCUAGUAAAAGAUAAAGUAGAUAAUUAGUAUUUAUAUAUAAUAUAUAAGAGAGUAGAUAAUUAGUUGAUGAGAUUGAAAACUAUAAAAUUUCAACCUCUCUUUACAGUCGUUUUCCAUUUGAUUUUUUCAAUACUUCUAUAAGAAUAAUCAGUUUUUUCAUUCUACUAACGAAAAGUUUAUAUUUUUUCGCAUAUACCAUAAUUAAAACUUUUAGAUUUAUAUAUAUAUGUAUAUAUUCAAAAUAAUUGAAAUAUGAAUAUGUAAUUAUAUAAAGAGAGAUUAAUGUAUAUAUAUAUAUUCAUAUUUAAUCACUUUCGCAUAUACCUUUUUCUGAUUCUAUUACGUAUGAGAUUAAAUAGUCGAUAAUUUAAGUCGGUUUGAUCUUCUGUUAGUCUCUAUUAGGAAUGUUGGCUAACUUAACCCAAAAGCUAUCUCAAGAGUUAAGGAUUGCCACAUCUUUUAUAUACUAUCCAAAGAUUUUAAUCCCAAGCAAUGUGGAACAUUCUAAUAGGUCUUUUCGAGAUGUGGGUGGGAAACGGUCAAACGGGAAACAGCCCAAUCCCAACACUUCGGAAAUACAACAAGACAUGCCUCUUAUAUGGGCCACAUAGGUGGAAAUCUAUUUUUGUGGGAAUUUGCUUGUUGGGCCAACCUUAGGCUCUGAUACCAUAUUAUGAAUGUGGCCUAACUUAACUCAAAAGCUAAGCUAGCUCAAGAGUUAAGGAUUGCCACAUCCUUUAUAUACUACCCAAAGAUCUUAAUCCCAAACAAUGUGGAACAUUCUAAUAGUCUCCUAGCUAGGAUCCAAGUUUGAUGCCUAUUCGAAUAAGCCAAAGUGGUUUUAAAAUAUGUAAUUGAAUCAAUCGAUUCUGCUAUUUACUUUGAUAGGUUGAUUGAAAAUAUAUCCGAUUUGAUGAAAAAGUGCUAUCACCAUCCAACGGUUUCGUCGAAAGACUCAAAACAAGUGAUUCUAUUUCCUACAACUUUAUUUCCACACUUGUUAUACUUACACAUACCCAUUAAAGGACGACAUUGAUUGCUGGGUUUUAGAAAUGCGAACAAGAAAAGUUGUGAUUAAUGCUCGAUCCAAAAUGUUAACGUGGAGACUUUUCAUAGAACCUUAAUUGAUCAUUAAAAAUAGUUGGGUUUUUUUUUCUUUUUCUUUUCUUAUUUCUUUUUGUUUAAUAUAGUUAGUUGGCACCAAUAAUUUACAUAGCAUAAUGGAUCGUUAAUAAUAGGUAGUUUCAAUAUCACCAGUAGGGUGUACGUAGUAUUCACUAACUCUCUUUAUUGGAAAUGAGUAUAUUAUUAUCACUAGGCUAGUAAAUCCACCUUUUUUUUUUCGUCUAAAGGAUUUCAUUGAUAGAAUGCGAUUGAGUUAUACAAAGCCGACAAGGAACGAAAUCCUUUCGGAGACAAAGCCGGCAGGUACAUAGAAACCCCCAGAAACUUAAGGCCAAAAGAGGCGGACAAACAUAACAAAGCCCAAACGAGGGAAACUUAAGCCCAAACGAGGGAAAUUACAAUCUACGGAAAUAGGUGGAACCGCUAAAAGCUUAGUCUCAAUUAAGCCCAAACAUGAGAACGACGAACAUGGCAAGAUACAGAAAUCGAAUCGAGAAACCUGACAUAGAAUUUGACGAAGGAAGAAGAACGCACAUGCUCAACUCUUUCAGUCCAAGAUCACACGACUAACUAAACUGAGAGGAUCCUGCUGAACCGCGAAACGAAGACGACUAAACCAACCUUCUAACAAAACCGGAGGAAACCCAAACAAGUGGGUGAGCUGAACUAUCCGCGAAUUGUAAGAUGAGGAAACCGAAUGAAAACUCAGCCCAGAGACACCAUGGAAAGGCAAAGCAGAGACAAACCACCAGCAAAAUCCAAGACACAUUCCGCAAAAACAAGUCAACCGGGCUAACUAAUGCUUCGGGCUAACAACAACAAGGAAGCGAGACAGCCUAACCGAAGACCGGAUCACACAAACCUCCGCAUGAGCAAACCGUCGACUAAGAGUCUAAACUAUCCAAACCAGUAAAGAACGAGCCUAAGCCUAAGAUUAAAACCCCACCAACAGCCAAAACGGACCAAACACAACAACCCCAAAGAUAGAAGAGACGAAGGACGAUAUUACCAGAUAGAAGGCAACAUCGAUUCAGCCGAAGACGAAUCCAAAGAUCCGCCUAACACCAAUCGAUUACAGGAACCUCCAGCCACCACUGAAACCAGAUGAUGACGCGAAGAUCUAUUCUGAACCGAAAGAGACCGGCGCACAUGGAGGAUCUGUCCGACAAACAGAGAAGAACCAAUCUGAAUCAUAAGAACACCAACGCAAGACAUAUCCGACUGAGGGGUUGCUACUGGCCGAAAACAAAGGAGAAAAACAAGUAAAGCGCAGAGACGGACUCUCUCACGGCUCCGAUGAGGAGCACCGGAAACCGGAGAGAGUCAAAACGGUAGUAACUUUCUUCGGCGGCUAGGGCGAACUUCUAUGGUCGAGAGAAAAAAAAAAAAAGGAAAAAGAUGAACGGUUGGCUAGUAAAUCCACUAACCAGACACUUGUUCAAGCGUUGGUUUUUGGGAAAAUGUGAUAAAUGGUUUUUUUUUUUGGGUAUCAUUGUAUGAUAAAUGUUGAAAUAAUACUACAGUAUGAAAUACUAAAAAUUCAUACUAUUAAGUUACUAACUACACAUGCACUUUUUUUUAGCAUUUUGGAAAUGAGUAUAUUUUAUCAAUAGCUUGUAGCCACUAACCACACACUUCUAAAGCGUCGGCCUUUGUAAAUGUGUCGAUUUCUUUUACAAGCCAAACUCCGUUUUACUAAAUUAACGGAUACAUAUGUAGAUACACACUCGUUUUUAGGAAGAGCCGAUCGAAAAUUGAUAAAUUUAAAUGUGAAAGAAAGAUACAUGAGUUCUUGUUUUAUUAGUUAAACAAACUACCCAAAUACUGUUAUUAAGAAAGUUAAAACUACUAUAGCAAGAUAGAAAAAUGGAUCUAAAGAUUGUAAAAAAAGCGAUAUUCACCAUAAAAAUAGGUCAGUCGUUUUGGUAGGCUAACUGUUGACAUGUUGCCAAGCUACCUUAAAAUGCAUUUUCAUGUAAUUUUUAUUUUAUUUUCAAUAAAGAUUAUUACAGUUUAUUCAAUUUUAAACUAAAAAAUUCAAAACUCGAAAAAUUAAAAACGAAGAAUGUUCAAAUUGAAAUAAAAAUAUACAAAAUUUUAGUAUAGUAACUAUUUCCUAUAUAACAAAAUAAUCGAAGAAAUCAAACCGAAAUCCGAAUCAAAGAUUCAUAUACAAAUCAAUCUAACACUAAGAUACGACUGAGUGAUAGGGUGUUAAUAGACACUUUAUCUACUUCACUAGAUCAUCACCCGUACUAAAAUACGGGUUGAAUUUUAUUUAUUACAAAAUUUAUAAAAUAUAUAUAUUAGAACUAAGUUUUAAUAUAUUAUAAUAGUAAGUGAAAAAAUAUUAAUUUUUUUGUCAGUCCCUAUAUACAAUAUUAGAAUAAAUAUAGAAUUUUUUCUAUAAUACUCAAUUAUGGAUAAUUUUUUUUUUAGAUAUGAAAACGGAAAAUAAUUUUAUUUUUUAAAAAGUAAUAUUUUUUGAACAAUGAGUUAAUUUAUGUUAACAACCACAAAAUAGGAUUGCAUAUAUUUCAGUUAGAUCAAAAAUUAAAAAUCAUAAAUGAAUCGCAUAUAAAACAUAGAUUAGUUUGAAUUAAUUAAGAAAAUUAGCUAUUAUUUGAAUUAAAUUAGAAAAUUAUUUUUCAAUUUACAAUUCUUUGGUUGUUGAAAUAGAGAUUUAUUUGAGUUAAUCUAAUUACAGAAUUUGUUUGAGAUUUAUAAUUACGGAAUUUACCAAUUAUUCGCAUAAUCGAAUAUGUUAUAAACAUAUAUUUAGUAUAUAAUAAUACCAAAAUCAACCCGUGCGUAGAGUCUAUAUUUUUAUUUUAGAAUCUCAAUAUUUUAUUUUAAAAUAUUACGUGCACAAUCUAUUAUUCGUUAAUUCUAAAAUUGCUUGCGGAAUCAAAUUUUCAAAUAUUUAGAGGUGUCGAACCAUAUGUAAAUGUUCUACACUAUUUUUAAAUAUUCCAAAUUAAAAUCUUUAAAUUUUUUUUGUAGUUUAUAAAAUUAUGAAUUUCAAAAAACAAAUUACAUGAAAUUAAAUAUAACUAUUCAAAUAGUUAUAAGGAUCAAAACUCAUUUUAUCAUAUAAUAUAUUAUAUUUAACCCGAUACCUAUUAUAAAUAUUUUUAAAAAUAAUCAAAUUAGAGUAUUUAUAAUUUUUAGCUUUUUGAACUAUUAAGUAUUGAUGAUAUUCUCUAAAAAUAUCAAGUAAAACUUAUUUUAAAUGUUGCAAAGUAAAAUAUUUAAAUUUUUAUUAUAGUAUAUAAAAGGGAGACUCACAAAAAUGCCCCUUUUUCAAUACCCCUUUUCAAAAAUGCCCCCUUUGGAUAUCCAUUUUUAAAAAUACCCCUUUUAUGUACAAAAUGACUAAAUUACCCUUCUUUUAAUAAAAGAUAUCAUAAAUAUAUAAGGAAAUAUAACAAAAUUAGGUCCACAAAAUACAAAAUAUUUUUUGGCGGGAAAAGUGAUCCCCCAAUUUUUCCCGCCAAAACACUUGUAAAAAUUUGUAAAACCUUUAAAAUACCUUGUAAAAUUUUCCCGUAAAAUUUUUUCCCGCCAAAAAUUUUUUUUUGCGGGAAAAGUGAUUCCGCAAAUUUUUUGGCGUUAAAUUUUUGGCGGGAAAAAUUUACUGGGUAUUUUAAAGGGUUUUUACAGGGUAUUUAUAAGGUUUUACAAUGUAUUUUAAAAGUGUUUAUAAGAUAUUAUAAGAUUUUACAAGUUAUUUUAUAAGGUUUUACAAGUUAAAAUAAGGUUUUACAAGUUUUUUAUAAGGUUUUACAAGUUAUAAAUACCUUAUAAAACCUUAUAAGUACCUUGUAAAACCUUUUAAAAUACAUUGUAAAACCUUACAAAACACUUGUAAAUACUCCGUAAAACCUUUAAAAUACCUUGUAAAUUUUUCCCGUCAAAAAAAUUUCGGCAAAAAAAUUGCGGAAUCACUUUUCCCGCAAAAAAAAAUUUUUGGCGGGAAAAUUUUUUGGCGGGAAAAAUUUUUACGGGAAAAUUUUACAAGGUAUUUUAAGGUUUUUACAAGUGUUUUGGCGGGAAAAUUGCGGGAUCACUUUUCCCGCCAAAAAAUAUUUUGUAUUUUGUGGACCUAAUUUUGUUUCAAAUAAGGGUAAAAUGGUCAUUAAAAAUUAAAAGAGGGCAAACUUAAAAAUGGACUCUCAAAAGGGGCAUUUUUUAAAAGGGGUAUUGAAAAAGAGGCAUUUUUAACAAUUUCUCUAUAUAAAAUUAUGCAUUCCAAAAAAAUAACUGUAUAAAAUCGAAUAUAAAUAUUCAAAUUCUGACCCGUUGCUCAGUCGAAAUUUUUGGUGACAUUAUUUUUGCGUAAAAGAAAUAUAUUACUCAAGUCUGAAUUUUUGACCCGUUUAAUUGUUUCCUUUAUAGAUUGAACAAUUUAUAUGCGUUUUUAAAAAUUCAAAUCUUGGCGUAUGUAGAAAAAAAAUUACUUUUUUUUUUUAUUAUGUAGAUGAUAUGAUGAUUUAUUUGUUUCAUAUUAAUAUAAUCAUAUUAAGAUGAGAGGUGAAGUUUAAUGAUUAAUAACAAAUUAAUAUGGUAAGUUGGAUAUCAAAUCUUAUAUGUUCAUUUGCAUUGGUCAUUUAAAAAAAAAAACAGAUUUUCGUUUUAUAAUUUAUUUAAAUUAAUUAAAUAACAUAAAUUAGUAUUUUACUUGUUUAUCCUUAAUAAAUUGAAUGAAAUUUGUUCUAAAAAAAGAUUUUUGUAAUGGCAUUCUUAAGUAAAUUCUUACAAAAGAGAAGGUUAGUUAAGGAUAUCUUAUAAAGUGUACUCCCCAAAUAAUAGUAUAGGAUGUCUCAUACGUAAAAAAAUAAAAUUUGGGACAAAAAUUGUAAAAGAAGUUAAAACAUUGAUAAAAGAAAGAAAAUUGAUAAACUGUCCGUCAUUUACUAGCCAACUAGAUUUUAACCCGUGGUACACUGCGGGAUGAUUUAAUUUUAAAGUUAAUAUAAAAAUAUUUUGUAAAUUGUAUCUUCUUAUAACAUAUUUAUUUAUAUUAGAGUUUACAAUUGUUAUUAAGUAACGGUAUACCACGAGUCCACGAGACAAUUAUUAAUAAACUGAGGAUUUAACCCGUAAUUAAAGCGGUAUAUAAAUAUUGAUUCAAAUUCGUCCGCCAUAUAAAUCCUUUCAGAACCCGUUCCAUAAUUUCUUAACCCGUCCCGUGAUUUGUUUUUAUUUUAAAAUUUAAUGAUUAUUUAUUAUAUAUAAAAGUUUACAAAUCAUAUUAUUCUCUAAGACAUUUAUAUUUUAAUAAACUAAAGAUUUAAUAUGUAUUAAAGCGGCAUGUUAAUGAUAUUUUAAAAUUUUAUAAAUAUUGUUAUUAAGUAACAUUAUACCACGGGACAAUUUUUGGUUUUAUACAAUCUUUUCUAAAUGAGACUGAUUUAAUAUGUCUAAUAUUUGUGGUAUUAAAAAAAAAGAUUUAAUCCGUAUUGAAGCGGCGGAUUAAUGAUAUUUUAAUCUUUUUAUUAUUGUUGAUUCAAAAACCCGUCCCGCCAAACCCGUCCGGCCAAAAAACUCAUUUAUUUUAUUAAUGUUCUUAUUUAUGAUAUGAUUCUGAAUCAUUGUCUAAAUAUUUUGAUCGAUGUAGAACGUUGAACACACACUUUCGUCAAUUGGAUAAUAUAUGUCCGUUUUUUAAAUUUCGAAUCACAGUAUAUGCAGAAAAAAAUUGAUUUUUUUUUUACUUUAUGUAUUAUAUGAUGAUUCGAUACAGUUAAAAACAAAUCAAACAAAGAUGAUAGGAGAAUCAUAAUUAUAAAUCUUAAUCAAAUCUUCUAAAUAUCUAAAUUAUUAAAUAUGGAAUAUCCGGUGUAUGAGUUGAGUUAAAUAUAACCCUACCCAACAAAUUUUUUGUGAAGGAAUUUUAAAAACGGGUCGGGUAUCUGAUAUAUCCGGAAGCAUUUUUACCCAUCCGUCACCAAAGUGUUGCAAAAAUACUAGUAUAGAUGAAUUAGAUCUGGAAAAAAAAAACAUAUUUGGACAGUGAAGAAAAGAAUUCGAUACACUCGUAGAAACGCGAAAGGAAAAAGCAAAAGCCAGAAUAGAUCACACAUUCUCAAAACUCACUUCUUCUUCUUCACUCUCUUAUAGAGAUCACAGUUCCUUGUCUGGAUCUCUGUCGGCAGAUUCUUUAGGUUCUGCUCGAAAUCUGGGUUUUUAGUGUUUAAAACCGAUUCAGAAAUCGUGGGUGGAGUUGUAGCGAAAGAUGGGGCGUUGGCAGCCGGUGGAUCACCGGCGGCGAGGUAGAAGGAGAUUGUCGAGUUGGAUAUGGUUUCUCCUUGGUUCUUUCUCUGUCGCUGGAUUAGUUCUCUUCAUGGUUCAGCAUUAUCACCAUCAACAAGAUCCAUCACAGCUUUUAUUUGUAUGUCUUUCUCUCUUAGUUUCAUGGAUUUGAUUGCUCUGCGCUUGAUCAUCCCUCAUGAAAAAUUGUGGAUCUUGUUGUGCUUUUUGAAUCCACUGGAAUUGUAACCUAAUGAAAUUAGGUUUCCUUAUUCGAUCGGUCUAUGACUAUGAUGGAAUCAGUGAAGUUUCCGAGUUGAAGUAUCUUCAAUUUGAUGAUUUUAAGCUCCCAAUUGAGUAUUGAAUGUCUGAACCUCUGUUUUCGAAAUCUUCGGAAAGUUUUUGUUCAUGAAUUACUACUUGUGGCUUGAAGAUAUUGUGGCUGUUGUAGUUUCUUAUUGAUAUUGUUUGUUGGUUUUGGUUUCAAAUAUUUUCUUAAUGUGAGUGCAAAAUGAUGACAAUGUUAAUAUGUCGUAGAUCAGAGUUCCAGAUGGGAAGGAUUUGCAGUAGUUAGUUAGUUAUAUCAUAAAUUGGUGAAGUUCAUGUUGAUUUUAUUUACUAAAGAUAAGACAUUGGAUGAGUGUUCAUAACUUAUGGAGGACUUACUCUGAUCUUUUCAUCUUUGACAGGAGAGAGACACGAGAACCGAAAUGGUAUCCCCUACCCGUUUAAACUUCACGGAAGAGGUCACAAGUGCUUCCUCAUUCUCUAGGCAGUUAGCAGAGCAAAUGACACUUGCCAAGGCUUAUGUUUUUAUAGCUAAAGAGCACAAUAAUCUUCAUUUAGCUUGGGAAUUGAGUUCUAAGAUCAGAAGUUGUCAGCUUUUGCUCUCGAAAGCUGCAAUGAGAGGACAACCUAUUUCGUUAGAUGAGUCAAAACCGAUUAUUAGUGGUCUAUCAGCUCUUAUCUACAAGGCUCAAGAUGCACAUUACGACAUAGCCACCACAAUGAUGACCAUGAAAUCUCACAUCCAAGCCCUUGAAGAACGUGCAAAUGCAGCUACCGUUCAAACCACAAUCUUUGGGCAGUUGGUUGCUGAGGCACUACCAAAGAGCAUCCACUGUCUGAUGAUAAAGCUCACAUCUGAUUGGUUAAUAGAGCCAUCUCGCCAUGAACUAGCAGAUGAGAACAGAAACUCACCUAGACUUGUCGACAACAACCUUUACCAUUUCUGCAUCUUCUCGGACAACGUUAUUGCCUCCUCGGUUGUUGUUAAUUCAACUGUCUCAAAUGCUGAUCACCCGAAACAGCUUGUUUUCCACAUAGUGACGAAUCGAGUGAGCUACAACGCUAUGCAGGCCUGGUUUCUGAGUAAUGACUUCAAGGGCUCAGCUAUAGAGAUCAGGAGCAUAGAGGAGUUUUCUUGGUUGAAUGCUUCGUAUUCUCCUGUUGUUAAGCAACUGCUGGACACAGAUGCAAGAGCUUACUAUUUCGGGGAACAGACAAGUCAAGAUACGAUUUCCGAGCCAAAAGUGAGGAACCCGAAGUACUUGUCAUUACUGAACCAUCUCAGAUUCUACAUUCCCGAGAUCUAUCCACAGCUAGAGAAGAUCAUUUUCCUAGACGAUGAUGUUGUUGUUCAGAAAGAUUUGACACCACUCUUCUCCUUGGAUCUGCACGGAAACGUCAAUGGAGCUGUGGAAACAUGUCUUGAAGCCUUUCACCGUUAUUACAAGUAUCUAAAUUUCUCGAACCCACUCAUCAGCUCAAAGUUCGACCCACAAGCAUGUGGAUGGGCUUUUGGUAUGAACGUCUUUGAUCUGAUCGCUUGGAGGAAAGCAAACGUGACUGCUCGGUACCAUUACUGGCAAGAACAGAACAGAGAACGAACGCUUUGGAAACUCGGGACACUCCCUCCAGGUCUACUGUCUUUCUAUGGUCUCACAGAGCCACUGGAUAGAAGAUGGCAUGUCUUGGGCUUAGGUUACGAUGUGAACAUCGAUAACCGUCUGAUAGAAACCGCAGCUGUGAUUCACUAUAAUGGUAACAUGAAGCCUUGGCUAAAGCUGGGCAUUGGUAGGUAUAAACCUUUCUGGUUAAGGUUUUUGAACUCGAGCCAUCCUUAUUUACAAGAUUGUGUCACAGCUUAAAGCAAAAGACUAAAGAGUUGAGACUAAUCCAUAUCACAAGAUUCUUGAUUUCUUAUACACUUUAAAGAUUCUUUUUUUUUUGGAAUAUUGUAGAUCUCAGAAAGUUUGUCAAAUUCAGAUUUCCUUCUGAAGACUGUUUUUUUUUUUUUUUUUUUGGGUCUGAAGAGAAAGUUAUAAUCACACAUUAGAGGGUCCCAUAAUGUACUUACUAGAUCCUGACCCGCACGAAUGUGCGGGAGAAAUUUUUUUAAUGAAUGUCUUUACAAAAAAUUUGUAUUUAUAUAUUAUUUUGUUGGUUAGUGAAUUAUAUAAUAGUAUAGAUACCCUAAACUUAGCAUAAUAAUUGUAGAAUUAUGUUUUGUGUUUUAAAAAUAGUUUGGUGCAUAAGUUUGUGUUUUCUAUUUGAUUAGUUUUAAAUUUAGAAUUGAAAGUUGAGAGUCAGAUUUAAGUAAUUUGAUAUGUGUUUUUUUAAAAUAUAUAAAUUGGUGCAUAACAAAUAAUUUGAACAGUUAGAGAAGUUAUGUGUCUAAAAGUUAUUAUACAAAUGUUAAAAAUUGAAAGAAUGUAAUAUUUUAAAAUUUAUAAAUUAAAUAUUUGGUAAUGCAACAUAAUUGUUUAUAAAUUACUAUUCAGUAAUUCUCAAACAUUUUUACCGAAAUAUAAUUUACUGGCACAAUAAUCAAACCGAGAUAUUUUUUUGUGGGCGGAAUAUAAUGUUAAUGUUGACCCAAUUAUAAAGCCUCCUUCACCCAUUUAAUAUUCGUUUAAAUAAAUUGAUAUUUAGUAUAUUAAUGAAUUUUAAUUUAUUUAUUUGGACAGAUUUAUUUUAUAUUUUAGAACAAUCGUUAUUGUCCUUGUUGCUUCUUACUGCCUAACACGUGUCUGAGUGAAGAUAUCUCUUCUUCUUCCUUAACGUAUCAUCGACUGGACUUUUAAUGGGCUGCUUAAUUUUGUAAACCCAUUAUGUACUCUUGUUGAUGUAUGUUGUCUUAUAUCAAUAAAAUUCAGAGAAAAAAAAAAAGAAUAAUCGUUGUCUCAUCUUUAAAAAAAAAAAAAAACCCACCGAACAAACGUAAGAACUUGGCUCGAUCGAAGAAUCAAUUGCGACAGCUAUUUCGUCUCCGUUUAUACUGUGUUGCAAAUCGUGAAUUCUUUAAAGAGGUAAAGUUGCUAUUGAAUCAGAUCUAUAGUUUUACUGCCUCAAUUCCCAAUCUGUGAAUUUUUAUGUUUGAAUAGAGAUCCUUGUCCAAGGAUUGUCAAGAAACCAGAUCUUCUACGGGUAACUAUUGUCAAUUGAAUAUCCAAAUUUUUGUUUUCACUGAAUUAAAUCAACUAACACGAAUUUGAUUUCGUGUAGUUUUUCUCGUUAGCUACAGAAGCAAGAUGAACAUUAAAAUUCCAGUUUACCGAGCUUUUUUUUUUUAAACCCAUCAAUUUUUUACAGUAUAUUUAUGUUAGCUGAAAAGAUUUCUACUUAAUUUAGCUUCUAUAUAUAUUUCAAAUAUAAUGAUGUUAAUGGAAGAAAGGGAUAAACAAAGAAAGAAAAACUGAUACGAUUAUUAGAAAACAAUAGCUAUUACCAAAAAUUUAAACAUGGAAUGUAUUCAGGUCAAGUAUAAAUUGCGAGUAACCUAAAAAUGUGGAGGAGGCUAUAUCACGUUUUGUCAUUGGAGCUAUUCAAAAAUCUAUUGGUUGAAGGUUAGUGUCUUAGUGAGAUCAUAAUUUAUACACUUUGUUUAUUAGAUUUGCAUAUUUACCUACUAUUAUUGAGUCUACUUGUGGUUACUUAAUAUAGAAAACUUUUUUUUUUCUCUAGUAUGUUAAAAUGAAAGUACUAAGGAGGGGGUAUUGGGUGAGAGAAUUUAAUAGAAUAGAAUUGAAGACAUAAAUUAUAGAUUUUCGAGUAUUGUAAAAGAUUUUCAAAUCUUUUUUUUCAAUUCUAACAAUUUACCUUACAGUAUUUUAAUAGAAUUUAGAAGUAAAAAGAUAUUAAUGAAUUACUAGAAUUUUUGUUUCUGGUUUCUAUCAGCCACUAUGCCCAAACCCUAAAAACUCUGUCUUUCUCUUUCACCCUCCCUGAUUAUACCCAUAAACGACAUACGUUGACGUUUACAUGAAAUGGAAGAGAGAUCUCUUAUGUAACAUCAACGAUGACGUCAUCACCACCAUUCAUUUCCUCUCUGUUUCGCUUUCUCUCUCGAUUCACACACUCUCCCCUCAUAUAUAAUCUAAUGGAUGAUGAAUUGAUGAUCCGACAACGAGAAAUUAGCCGGAUCGUGAAAUCACAGAUUAUGGAUGUGUUAGAUGAAUACACACUCUCCCUCAGAUUUGAGCUUUUGUCGAUGAUUGAAGCAAAUCGAUGAAAGAGAAAAAGUAAAGAUUAUUAGAUAAAGGAGGAUGGAUAUGUUAAGAUGUUCUAUAAAUAAGAGAUGCAAAGUAUUAAAAAUUCUGCCAUUGUUUGAUAUGCAUUAAUCACCUUUACACGAAUGAACGAUUUUCACUUGGAUUCUGCAUCUUGUCUUGAAAGGUUUGAUGUUAGCAAGAUUGGUGAUAUAAGAUUUCAUCCAUUGUUAGAAUUGAGAAACGAAGUAGCAAUAUUGAAGUAGCAAGAUUGGUCUUUUGCAAUCAUUUUUAAAAAAGAAGUAGCAAAAGGUUAGGGGUCGUUUGAAAGCUUAAUGAGUAUGGAAAAUGGUAUUAGACAUUCUAUAUUUAUAGGGAAAGGAGGUCGGCUAGGGUUAAACCUAUUAGAUCAAAAGAAUAUAUUUGCAAAUCCAUUUUUUAAAUAAAGUUUUAAGGUAUAUACUUGAUUUGAGAGGUAUAGAAUAUAUAGUUAUUGUUAUAUUUGGAAAAUAUAUUAACUGAAUUCGAAUAAGAUUGAAAACAACCUUCAAAUUUGGAUAUUUUUGAAACGAAUUAUUGUUACCAUUACUAUCUAUCCUUAUUUCGUAUUCGAAAUUAAAGGGAUACGUUUGUUUUGGUAAUAUCUUUAAAUUCGUAAAUGUCAUUUUUGGUUUCCAAUUAAUUUUGUUCAGAUUGCCAAAAUCUCAACCGACCGGAUCAAGCAAAGGAUCGAGCCCAUGAUCCGUGUGUCGACCCGCCAAAGAACCCCAUGAUCCGCGUGUUUAUUCGGUUCAGUAGCCCAAGAUCCGUGGGUUACUUCCUUUCAAAUUAUUGUUUUACCCUUUUAUGUGUUUUUUUUUACUCUUAGAAUGCAAAAUUCUUAAUGGCAUUCUUUGUAAUUUUUUACCCUUUAUAAGGUUAUUUAUUAUCUAAUGCUUUCCAAUUAAUAGUAUAGAUGGUCGAAUAGAUUGAUUACUUACAGGGAUAAUUUAUUUUUGGCAAGUUUUUAUUUUUAUUAUUUUUGGCAAGUUGUCUGCGUGUGCAUGAAUUUUGUCAUAAAAUAAAUAUCUCUAUUAUUUUAUUCUUAAAAAUAUUAUUACACCAAUGAAAUAAUAAGAAUUAUGCUUAUAACAAAUAUCCAACCAAUAAAAUAGUUAAGUUUUUAUUUCUUGGGAUAUUAUUAUAUUAACGAUCAAUUAACUUUUUUUUUUUUUUUAUUAUUAUUGCAAAUUCAUUCCUGUAAUUUUUUUUAAAGGAAACUGCAUAGCAUAGUUACCAAACCAACAAGAGCAAAAAAUCACAUAUAACACGUUUGUGCGUCAAAUAAUAUAGCCUCACCAGUCACCACCAACCUACUUAUCUAUUCUCUCUCACAACAAACUAUAUAUUAUAACAAACAACAAACUUAAUUUGGUAUCAAUAACAAACGAGUAUCAAUCUCUUAAUCACAUAGCCAAAAAAAUAAACUCUCUAUAAUGGAAGCAAAAACCAUAAACGACGCCGUCGUAUCAGAGUCGAAUCACGAGUUAGCAUUUUCGUCGCCAUCAGAAUUCGAGAAGAACCAGAAACAUUACCAAGAAAUCAUCGCUAAGCUUCCUCACAAAGAUGGCUGGAGACCAAAAGAUCCUUUCGUCGAGUACGGUGGUCACUGGUGGCUACAACCUCUCCUUGAAGGUUUACUUCACGCCCAGAACUUCUUCAAGGCACGACCCAAUGAUUUUUUCGUCUGCAGCUACCCAAAAACCGGCACCACUUGGCUCAAAGCCUUAACUUUCGCAAUCGCGAAUCGCUCCAAGUUCGACGAUUCAACAAACCCUCUUCUCAAACGCAACCCACACGAGUUUGUCCCUUACAUCGAAAUCGAUUUCCCGUUUUUCCCAAGUGUUGAUGUUCUUAAAGACCAAGGAAACACGCUUUUCUCGACUCAUAUCCCUUACGAUCUCUUGCCUGAAUCAGUUGUGAAGUCCGGUUGCAAGAUUGUUUACAUAUGGAGAGACCCAAAGGACACGUUUGUGUCGAUGUGGACUUUUGCUCACAAGGAGAGAUCACAACAAGGAUCACUCAUUUGCCUUGAGGAAGCUUUUGAUAAGUACUGUCAAGGUUUAUCUGCUUACGGUCCUUAUCUUGAUCAUGUUUUAGGGUAUUGGAAAGCUUACGAAGCAAACCCAAAUCAGAUUUUGUUUCUCAAGUAUGAGACUAUGAGAGCUGAUCCAUUGCCAUAUGUGAAGAGAUUAGCUGAGUUUAUGGGUUAUGGAUUCACAAAGGAGGAAGAGGAGGAAAAGGUUGUUGAGAAAGUUGUGAAGCUUUGUAGCUUUGAGACUUUGAAGAAUCUUGAAGCUAAUAAAGGUGAGAAAGAUAGAGAAGAUCGUCCUGCUGUUUAUGCUAACAGUGCGUAUUUCAGGAAAGGGAAAGUUGGGGAUUGGCAGAAUUAUCUGACCCCGGAGAUGGUGGCUCGUAUUGAUGGAUUGAUGGAAGAGAAGUUUAAAGGAACUGGCUUUCUUACUUCAACAACAUGAAUGUGAUCUUCUUUUGUCUUGUUUUUGAGCUAUGACUGUCUAAUUCUUAUGAUCUUUAUGCUGGUUUAUAGCAUAAGUUGCUUUUGUUUAUUAGUAUAGUUUCCCUUUGAAGUGUUGUAUUAUUGCUGAGUAUAUCUAUCAAUAUAUGUAUGGAAUUAUUGGUCAUAAACUAAUGAUGUUUUCUUUCACAGAUGCAAAGACACAUAGAAAUAAAUAUGCAGAAUCAGUAAGAGAAAAAACAGAGCAACCUCUGUUUUACACCAAGACCAAAAGGGAAGAAACAUAUCACUUGUAGUUGUAAUUGUUUAAGCAAAUUUGGUGUAUUUGACGCUGAGUGAGUAUAAGAAAAUUGUUUAAGCAAAGUUAGUGUCUUUGACAUUGAGUGUGUAAAAGAAACAUAUCACUUGUAAGUUGUAACUGUAUAAAUCUUUUGAGGUCAUCAACUAAAUCAACAUAAAAAAUGGUACAAGAAGAAUUUAAUGAUGAUUUUGACAAUAACAAUCCUCUCCAUUAUCAUUUUUACAACGCUCAAUGCCUCAAUCUGUAGUUUUUUUGGUAUCAAUGUUAUGAUCAAAUAGCAUGAAAGAGAUGUUUUAAAAAUAUAUCACCAACGUUGCUACAUUUGUUUGCUUAAUCCUUGCGGUGAAUAAGUUUCUCUUUCCAAAAGUACUAAUUUCGAGUUUUGUCCUUUACGAUUUUGCGCUUUAACAGCAAAUAGUACUUACAAAUACCAAAUGGACGAGCCAUGUAAAAACAAAACGAUAAAACUGGAAACUUAUAAAAUCAUCUUUCCAAAACAUGAAGAAAGUUCUUACACAAAAACAUCAAAGCUGCUCAAUUUUGAUAUGUGUCGAACAGAGACUAUCGAGUAAUACCCAGUAGUAGUCCAUGACCAGCCUUUAGUUCUUAAAAGCCAAAAUUUCCGAUCUUCGGUGUAUCGCUUACGAAAGCUCUCGCCUUUUCAUUUUCGCCAAUUGGGCAAAUUUACUAUUGAAGUUUUUUUUAAAAAAUGAAGGCGAUUUUCAACCGUAGAGUCGUCGUCGACUCAUCUUCGCGUCUCACCAAGCUGCUCACGAACCCAACUACUCAUUCUCACCCGAAUCGUCAAACUUUCAUUUCGCUCUAUAAACCGAACCAGAGCCGCCAUUUUCGAACACACUAUCUUCCUUCAACCCCGUCGUCUCCUCCCGUGAGCCGGUUUGACCCUUCUCAGCUAUGGCGAUCAGAGACAAUUCGUGGGUUUUUCGCAACCGCUUUAGGGAACAAAGCCGUGAAAUUGGGAAAUCUAGUGGAAUCAAGAGUUGGGUUCAUUGGUUCUCAGUUUCCCAAAAAGGGUUUCGAAUUCGAGAGGUUUUCUGGGUUUCAAAGGCGUGGCUGGUAUGUUAGUGUCCCUCAUCGUCCCAAAUUUUCUUACAACCUUAUUGAGAUUUGAUUUGGGUUUCACUUGUGUCUUUUUUACCUUUUGACAGGAAGCAUUGGCUUCAAGGAUUAUCAGAUCGUGACGUCGUUCUUGGAUUAGUUAUAGCUAACACUGGUGUGUUUAUGAUGUGGCGUGUUUUCAAUCAACAGUUCAUGAUGAAGAAUUUCAUGGUUAGACCUCAAAGCUUACAACUUUAUAGACAUUUCGUUCCAGUACAUGCUUGUUUAUGGAGAAUUAGGCUCUAGAUGUCUUUUAUAUGUAAUGCUGGUGAUAACAUAGUUGAUAAUGACUUUGUUGAUUCAUAUUUUGGGCAGAUAUCGUUGGAUAAUUUCACGAGUGGGCGUCUACACACUCUGAUAACUUCAGCAUUCAGUCAUAUUGAUAUUGGACAUAUCGUCUCAAACAUGAUUGGACUAUACUUUUUUGGAACCAGUGUAACACUUCUUUUCUCUUAUGAUUUGUAUUUGUUGAGUGAAGCACUGCCUGUCACUGCUAGUUUUUUGAAAAGUUUUGAUAGAGAUAGUGAAUUGUUUUCUUUAAUCGCUUACUUCUUUAUUUUUCGGAUUCCUUCUUUUGCUAGAUCGCUAGAAACUUUGGCCCUCAGUUCCUUUUGAAGCUGUACCUUGCUGGAGCGCUUGGUGGCUCUGUUUUCUACUUGAUUCACCAUGCUUAUAUGGCUACAACAUCGCCCAAGGUAUAGAGCAACCAGCAUUAAAACAUGUGCAUUGUGCAGUUAGUUUCCGUUAUCUUAGUUCAUGCUAGAUCCUCAGAUAAGUUAGUUUUGCAUUUGAACUAUGAUGUUGUGUGGGAAGACUUUUCCUUUUUAUAUUGGGUGGCUAAUCAUAUGCGGUGGACAGGGCCAAGGAGCUUUCAUGAGGGAUCCAUCGAGAACCCCGGGACUGGUAUGUUUGAAUUUACUAGUUUAAUUAAGAGAGCAGUGGCAUGCAAUCUUUGAUUUGGUUAUCUGACAACGAAAUUAUGAUUAUUGUUAACUCUUGACCCCCUUCAUUCAUUCUAUUUCAACAUGUAUUUGCCAUAAAGAUCCAUUGUUAUGUAUUUAUUGGCCGCAAGUGAGAAUGAUUUGAAGAACUCUUUUCUGUUGUAUAAAAGGGCGCGAGUGGAGCCGUGAACGCCAUCAUGCUGCUCGAUAUCUUCCUGCAUCCAACAGCUACUCUAUACUUAGAAUUCAUCAUUCCAGUUCCCGCAAUGUUGCUUGUAAGUUUUAAGCUCUCUGUCUCAAUCAUUCAGGCUUAAAAAUCUCUUCUUAAGUCAACUAAAACUCACUCUUCUUUAUCUUUCAGGGUAUCUUCCUCAUAGGAAAAGACAUUUUAAGGAUAACAGAGGUAACCUAAUAUGACAUUGCAAAAAUUCAAAGUAUGUUUGGAACUAUCUGAUGAUAUUUUUUCUUUAUAAACGACAAACAAUCUGGACAUUGCAGGGGAACAGUAACAUAUCAGGUUCAGCUCAUUUGGGAGGAGCUGCAGUUGCAGCCAUCGCCUGGGCUCGGAUUAGGAAAGGCCGCUUCCGCUUUUGACUUGACCUUGCUUGGUUUUGGUCAUCUUUAGAGAAAUCUUUCUUUAAAUGAUUUAAGUAACUUUGAGUCUUUGAACCAUUAACAAGAUUUGGUCUCUGCUUGGAUAUUUCAUAUUUCUGUUUUAAGUUAAAGAUAUUUAACUAUUUAAAAAAAUCUUGAGGACAAGAAAUUGAAUUAUAUAUAUAUAUUUUUUUUUCUCAACGAAUUAUAUUGCUUGACUUAUGUAAAUAAACGAAAAUAUAAUGUUAAAUAUUCAAAUUAAAUGUUCCGAUAACAUAAAAAAAUCCUGAUUAAAAUAUGGAUUAUUGAAAUAGAAUUGUUUAGUGCUCAUAACACGAAAAGAAAGAAAUAAAAGUACUAAGACCUUUGUUGAUCAAAAAAAGAAAUACUAAGACCUCAAAUAAAGACGGUUCCGUAUUAAAAAUACUAAGACCCCAAAUAAAAACUAUUCCGUAAAAAAAUUAUUAAGACUUCAAAUAAGAUCGUUCCAUAUAGUACGUAACGAAUAUAAUAAUAACAUAAAAUAUUUGUUUAUAUAUGUUUUCGCAGUUAUCCAUAAGUUUUCAUUCCGAACCUAAUUAUCUUUUGUAGAUUUUAAAAUGUUUUAUUUUAAUGAUUUUUUUUAUAGUUUAUGAUUCCAAACUUAAUUAUGUUUUUUAAUGGUUUAUUUUCCGAACCUAAUUAUCUUUUAAAAUCUACAGUAGAUUUUAAGUAGAUUAUUUUAUGGUUUAAGUGGAUUCAAGCACAAUUAAUUGUUAAAAAAACAAAAGAAGAUCCUUGUAACGUAAAUCCGUAAGUCUCGGGGCCCAUUUCACUAUUUUAAGGGACUUAUAACCAACCAGUAAAUACUCGACACGUCAUAAAAGUGCCACGUAAUAAAGUAAAGUGUUUUUUUUUUUUCUUUUUGUUUUCUCUUCGCCAGUUUUUUUUUUUUUUUGGUAAGUUCUUCGCCAGGUUUUUUGUUUGUUCUCUUCUUUAAUUUAUUUUUCCGGUAACCGAAAAAAAAAAACCUAAGCAAAAAAAGGAAGCAGCUUUAUCAUCUGUAAUCGCCCAUAAGAUAUAAUUUGGAUUUCGGAUUUUCUUUCUUCCUCAUUCCUCCUCCUCAAAAAGACCCAUUUCAUUUUCCCGCACUUUCUCACCUAAACGGAAGGAAUCAUUCUCGCCCGGAAAAUGAGGUGGGAAAGGGUCCGACAACAACAGCAACAAGUGGGUCUCGGUGACUCUUCCUCCGGGCCCGGUAAGAGGUGGGGACACACUUGUAACGCCAUUAAAGGAGGUAGCUUUCUCUAUGUUUUCGGUGGCUAUGGCAGAGAUAAUUGCCAAACCAAUCAAGUCCAUGUUUUCGACGCUGGUUAGUUCUCUCCUUCCACAUCGUCUCUGUUAUCAAAAAAUGGCGGAUUUGGGUUGAUUGCCAUUUCGGAUUUCGUUUCUUUCUCUGUCUCGAUUCUAGACAAUCAUCUCUUUGUUUAAUCUUGCAUGUGUGCUUUAGGAUAAGAAAUUACACUCUGAUUUGUUUUUUGUUUGUCAGAUUUUGGUAUGAGAAAUAUCCCCAUUUCUCUAUAUCCAAUUUUGUAUUUAAAGCUUUGUCCUUUAAUUCAUUUACAUUCAUCAUACUUGAAUGAUUUCGGUUUGACUCUUUUGAUGAAGCUUUUUGUAUUGGUAUGGACUUGAGUUGGUCUGUUAUGGUUUACACUUGCUCUCACUGUGGUGAUCCUUGUUGCAGCAAAGCAGAUAUGGACUCAGCCAAUGAUCAAUGGCACACCUCCUCCUCCAAGGGACAGUCACAGCUGUACAACAGUCGGUGACAAUCUUUUUGUGUUUGGUGGUACUGAUGGAGUUAACCCUCUCAAGGAUUUGUAUAUUUUAGAUACUUGUAAGCUUUCUCUUUGUAUAUUUUAAGUUUUGAAUUGUCCCUAUUUGAAGAAGUCAUUCUCACUUUGUUUGUUUGUUUUUAUUUGUGGUUAUAGCUUCACAUACUUGGAAAUGUCCGAGUGUUAGGGGAGAGGGACCUGAGGCAAGAGAAGGUCAUACCGCCACGCUGGUUGGUAAAAGGCUGUUUGUCUUUGGUGGCUGUGGGAAAUCUUCUGAUAUUAAUGACGAAAUCUAUUAUAAUGACGUUUACAUAUUUAAUACAGGUACUGUUUACUCAUGACUUUCUUCGAAUUGGCACGUUUCCAUAUUAUCAUCUCUUUUUCAUUGAUAAUGAUAAGGGACCUUAGAUAGAUUCUAAGUUAAAAACAAGUGCAAACCAUAUCCUUUCUUGCCUUAGUGUUGAGGUUUUUAAAUACUUUUUGUACUAAUUUUCAAGGAUGCAAGUAAGUUAAUCGGCUUUACGCUUGUGUAGAGACUUUUGUGUGGAAACGGGCUGUUACAAUUGGAAAUCCUCCAUCUGCGCGGGAUAGCCACUCUUGCUCAUCGUGGAAGAACAAACUUGUUGUUAUAGGUGGCGAAGAUGGACAUGACUACUAUCUGUCCGAUGUUCAUAUCCUUGAUACAGGUGAAAAAGCAUCUUCAAUUCAUGUUCUUUUAACCUUACGAGUGUAUGUCUUUUAUCUGAAGGUUAAUGUAGGUCUUUUUUUAACUUUCAGAUACACUCAUAUGGAAAGAGCUGAAUACUUCAGGGCAGUUGUUGACACCUCGAGCUGGUCAUGUUACUGUUUCACUUGGGAGGAACAUUUUUGUGUUUGGAGGGUUUACGGAUGCUCAGAAUCUUUACGAUGAUCUCUAUGUGCUUGAUGUCGGUAUGUAACUGAAAUAUCAUUUAAUAGCAAUAUAGAAUACUUGUGACUUAUGAGGUAGAUAUGCUUUGGUCCUUUCUUACUAUAAAGGUAAGAGGACCUGCCCUAUCCAAACAAAAUCUGCUCUGUUAAAGGUUUUAAGAUGAACAAUUGUAUCAAAUUUCAUGAGAAGGAAACCUGUAAAAGGCUUUCUAAAGUGUAUUAGUGUUAUAUUGGUUUCUUUGUCUUAAUUGUUCUUUUGAGAUCGAUAAUUACACAUUCACAUUGCUUUUUUUUGUUUCUUUGUUGCUCGUACCUGUAGAUACGUGCGUAUGGUCAAAGGUUCUCACCAUGGGAGAAGGACCAUCUGCUAGGUUCUCUUCUGCAGGGGCUUGUCUAGAUCCUCACAAAGCUGGUUUUCUUGUCGUUGUUGGUGGCUGCAAUAAGAAUCUCGAGGCAUUGGAUGACAUGUUCUACUUGCACACAGGUUACGGCAAACCCCUUUAACUCACUAAUUGCCAAAUCUAAUUCUUAGGUGGUAAUUCAUAGGGACAGACAUCUGGACAGCACUUUUCUCACUCUAAUCAUUUUUAUUUCUGGUUAAUAGGUCUUGGAUACGAUGCAAGAUUUGAUCAAAAUGUAGGGAGGUUGUCUCUAAAGAAGCAAUUGAAGAUAAAAUGCCAAGAACAAAGUCAUGCAAGUUCCUUGUACGAUAAAUCACUUGUCAGAAUCAAUAUGGAUCAUCAAGGUGUGUUUACGCAGACUCUGCGCUAGUCAAUAUUAUAUUGAAACCUACAAAGGUAGCAUUUUUUCUGUAGCAGAAACUCACUAGUUUGUGUAUGCUUGAUUUUAUUGUAGGAAGAGGAAAUUUUGGUUUGAACACUGGCCAAUUUAAUGAAGGAAAGAUGAUGUUUCAAGCCCGGAUAACCGAGAGUUACCCUGUUGGUUACACUAUGGAAACAAUGAUAGACGGAAAAGUGCUUCGUGGUGUUUUGUUCUCAAACAAGCGCAGCUCCGUUCUGGCGACCGAUCAAAGCUUUAGUAGGUGAGUGGUUAAAUUAAUCUUCUUCUUUCCCUGAUAUUCAGUUGGGUGCACCUUUUUGUCCACACCUGUAUUUGUUCUACAGAAAGAGGCCAGCUAUGUCGAACGGGGAUCAGGAUAACAGAUCAAAGAUAUCAANNNNNNNNNNNNNNNNNNNNNNNNNNNNNNNNNNNNNNNNNNNNNNNNNNNNNNNNNNNNNNNNNNNNNNNNNNNNNNNNNNNNNNNNNNNNNNNNNNNNNNNNNNNNNNNNNNNNNNNNNNNNNNNNNNNNNNNNNNNNNNNNNNNNNNNNNNNNNNNNNNNNNNNNNNNNNNNNNNNNNNNNNNNNNNNNNNNNNNNNNNNNNNNNNNNGAAGCGUCUUUAGAAUCUAGAAAUGCGAUAAUGAUAGAUGAUAGAGCUACCAAGACCGGACCUGGAGAGUCAUAGCUACAAAUACAAAGGUGGGCUAACUUCUUUUUAAUAAGUCAUUAUGAUUGAAUCACUAGGCCACAGAAGAGCAGAAGAAGCCAUUGCAUCUAAAACUAGUUGGGUCUAACUCUCUUCGUUUUGAGCAUUUAAUUUACAGAUGAGAGAUUCUCCGCUAUAGACAGAGGAACAACAGCAUGAACAACAUCAUUUCUUUUCCUGUACAUUAGUCUGGAGAUAGGGUGGGUUUAAUUUAGAAUCUAAGUUAGAUUAUCAUGGUGACUGGUGAGGAUGAUGAGGAGCUUACUCUGAGUUAGUUUUUUUUUUUCUUCUUCUUCUUCUUCUUCUCUGCAAUUUUCGUUUUUUCUUUUUUCCGGUUUAAUUUAACUUGCAAGCAAUGUUAUGCUUCCUCCCUCACAGUUUUUUUGUACAAUGAACUCGCUUAAUUGUCAUAAAAAAUGGUUUAUUUUAGAUUCUGGAGUCAUUCUUGUAAACUGGUUAUAUACCCUUGAUCAUUUAAAGGUUUUCACAUACUGAGUUUCUUGGUGUUUUGAUAAGAAGAGUCCCAACCAUCUUUAAUCUUUUCAUAGAAUGUGAUAUUGUUUGGUUCAUAUUUGACAGUCUCUGGCUCAGUAUUCACACAGUCCCUGUUUACUCUUUCUAGAGCUAGAGUUUGGUUGAUCAAUUCAGUAGGAAAUCAAAAUCUGGAGAUAACGUAGAAGAAAAGUCAAACUAGUCCUAGUUGGCAAUCCAAACUACUAAAGCAUGUGGUUCCUCCAUAUCCAACUAAUUUCGUUGUUGAUGAUUAGCAUGUGAUUAUGUCAACCUGUUUUCAUGUAAAAUUUUUAUACAGUUAAAACAAUUUUUUUUUUUUUAAUUUUCAUGUAACAACUAUCUUUGUUUUUUCUGAUCAUGUAAACAUAGAGAAGAAAACUUAUUUUUCAUUUACUUUGACUUCCUUUAUUUUGCAAUGUAUUUAAGAAAAUGGGAAGAAAUAAAAAGAAGGAUAAUUUUGAGAAAAUCUAAACAAGAAGACAGAAGUCACAUGCAGGGGGAGACAUCUAAAGAAGUAAUCACAUCCUACUUCCUUCCCACAUGGAUUCAUAUGAUUUGAGAGAAAGCGUCUGUAUCUCCAAUUCUCAUGAACAAUCUCUCUCUCAUUUCUAUUUUUAUUAUUCAUCACUUCUAUAUUAUUACUAAAGAUAAUCUAAAAUCUUGGGGCUUUUAGUCUUUAAGAGUGAGGGAUUGGAACAAACAAACAAAACCAACAAAUUCUUUCUUAUGAGGCUGUCUUUUUGUUUUGUUCUCUGAGCUGAACCAGAAGAAACAUUUUGCAGAGGUUCUUUUAUUCUCUCAUCUUCUUCUUCUUGGCUUGGCGGUUUCUUUCUUUUCCUUAGAUUAGUGAGAUUCUUGAAUGUACAUUCUCUGAUUCACAGUGAUCUUCUUCUGGAAUAUUAAGUUUUCCGACAAAAGGUUCUGUAAUAAUGGAGCUUGUCUUAUUCUUUUUGGGGUUGAGUGGGAUUUGGGAAUCUAGGUGUUGAAAAUAAGGUUCAAUAGAUUCAUAGGUUUCUGCUAGCCUAGACUUAAAACUUUUGAUUCUGAAUCAGAAAUCGAAUCAAAGAUCACUGUUUGAAGUUUUGAACUUUUGCUAUGAGUAGAGACCAAAAGGUGAUUUUUUUUUUAGUACCCAAUUUACCGUUUUUAAGAAAAUGCGAUUUUUUUCAUUUGUCGUUGAUAGGGAUUUAAGCUGUAAGCUGUAAUUUAGCUGGAGAGCAAUGACGUUCACAAUGAGCUUUGUCAGAGCCAAUUUUAUUGGAAUCUGAAUUCUUGAUAAAAAUGAUGAAUUUUUUGGAAUUAUAUGAAAGUUGGCAAGUGCCGUCAUUAUCAUUUAUCGUUCCAUGGUGGUUGCUAUUGAUGCAUAAAUAACGAAAGCUUACGUUUUUCCCAAAUUAGGAUUUACUGGAAGCACAAAAGAGAGUAGACACUGUCACUACAGAGGGAAGAGUUCAAAUUCUCUCCUUUUUUCACCAUUCAUGGCUGCGAAGCUUCUUCUUCAUACAUUGGCAGAUGAAAACUCGGAUCUGCAGAAGAAAAUUGGAUGUAUAAAUGGGAUUUUCCAAAUCUUUGAUCGCCACCAUGUUCUCACAAGCCGGCGUCAAAGUCUUACUUUAGGUAAUCAUAAUCCAAUAAAAUUAACUAAUAAAUAAAUGCUUAAUGUUCUAGAUCGUGUCUCUUAGUCGUUGACUUGUACAUGGCCAUAUUUUGUUACAAACGUUCUUUAUAAGUAUGUCUUUUUCAAUCUUCUUUCUUCUUUAGCUCUGUUUCUUCAUGAACUGUAAAGGUCUUGUCUGAUUCUUCUGUGAGGACUAAAAAGGUUUGUGCUUUCUUUGCUGAAUCUUAUCUGACUUUGCUCUGGUUUGUGAAAUGUCUGUUAGUUUUUGUUAAAAUGGAUUUGGGUUUUAUGUGGCUUCUCUUGGUAGCUUUUGACUUCUCUUAAUCUUAGACUCUCGAAGUUUCCAGAAUCUGCAAUGUUGAGGGGUUUAUUGGUAAAGAGAAUUUUGAGAAGAUCAUCAAACUUUGUUGAUGUUAUUUGCAGGUAAUGCACAUGUCAAUAGUAUCAACUUUGAAAGAGGCUCUGUUGAUGCAAUAUGUCAGCACAGAUCAGCAUUUCAGUUUCAAGACUCAAACCUUAUUAGUGGAAAUGGGUCGAGUGAGAAACUAACAAGGGUAUCAACAGAAUCUUCAAGGGUUUCUUUCUCAUCGUCGUGUUCAUCAUUUUCCCCAUUGUCUUCUGAGGUCAACAGAGAAGUACAGUUUGAGAUUUCUGCGGAUGACCGAGUUAUUUUUCCAGAAUCUCCUACAAGUGAUCCAGUGAUGAGCCAAGGAAGUGGUGCACGUAUGGGACUUGACCUUAGAGAUGUUGUUAGAGAUUCUAUGUAUAGAGAAGCUAGAGGGCUUUCUGAAGUAUGUAGGCAAAACAGAAGAGAGGAUUCUCCAAGACCCUAUGGUUUGAAGCAAUCCACGCCUGUCGAUUUCAAUGAGUCCUGCAGAGCUUUAGCCAAACUUAGAAAAACAUCUCAUCAUUAUUACAAUGAGGUUGAUAUGAAAGAUACAUCCCGUUACUAUGUUGAUUCUCGCGGAAAGUCGAAAUCCGGGAAGAAGCUCAAAGAGUUGCCUAGGCUUUCGUUGGACAGUAGAGACCACAUUGAUCUCAAAUCAGGUAAUUUGCUUUCUGAAAGUUUUAGCAGAAGCUCUAGCAUGAACAAAGUUUCAGGUAGCCCGAAACGGCCUCCUAGUGUUGUUGCAAAGCUAAUGGGCUUGGAAACAUUACCAAGUUCUCCUUUGAACAGAGAAAAAUUCAACAUGUUUGAUGAUAACAGUGAUCCAUUCUCAAGAUCAUUGAGGGAAAAUAGCCUGAACCGUUCUCUUCGGUUUUCUCCUAGCUCACCGAGAAGCUUAGGUAAGGACCCUGCUGCUUCUUCUUCUUCUCCAAGAUGGAGAAGCUCUGAAUUUGUUAUGAAACCCUUAUCAAGUUUGAGAUAUCCCAUUGAACCAGCUCCUUGGAAGCAAACUGAUAGAAACCGGUUUUCUCAAAAGCAAGCCUGCAGGUCUGUGAAAUCUCUGUCGCAGUCAAUGGAGGGAAGAUUGAAAGAUCUCGAGUUAAAACAUUCGGGAAAGGAUCUCAGAGCUCUUAAAGAUAUAUUAGAGGCAAUGCAAUCAAAAGGUCUCUUUGAUACUCGAAAGCAACCACAAUGCUCAAACUUGGAAGCUCAAAGAGAUUACGAACUGGCAGAUUCUACAACUUCUAACCAUGAUUCAAUAGACCUGCGAAACCCGGUGAUGCCAUCCAAUAUCAGAGGCCCAAUUGUGAUAAUGAAACCUGCCAGACUUGUUGAAAAAUCUGGUAUCCCUUCAUCAUCAUUGAUUCCCAUUCAUAGUCUAUCCGGUCUUAACAAGACCUGUAGAGAAGAACCUGCAAAUGCUAGAAGAAGUUCAACAAGUAGAAAGGCAGCAAAAGAUCGUAGUCCUGGAAACCAAAGAGCUGAACCAUGUAUCAGUUCUGAUAAGAUAUCUAGCAGCAGAAACGUGAGGUCUUCUCAGGUUUCCAAAGAAAGCACUUCAAAGAAUUCAGGACCUACAAGUCCAAAAUUGCAGCGGAUGAAGCAUGAGAAAGACAAGCGUUCUCGGCCACCAGCCUCUCCAUCUGAUUCAAGCAAAUUAAGAAAACAAAUAAACCGACAACCCGUGGAAUCUACUACUUCUCCUGGUGGUAGACGUAGUAGACCCAGGGAUCAGAGGAGCAUGCAACAAAAUGAUGGCCAACUAAGUCAAAUGAGCAAUAAAUCUAGGACUAAAACAGAAGCCCCCGUGAGUAUCGAAAAUGGUGGAAAGAGUCCAUCUGUAAUAGAGGCAGCCAAAGCUGUAGUCUCUAACUUAAUACAGAAUGUGAGUUGCUGUUUCUCAUACCACUGCUAAAUUGUUUGGUACUUUAAAUUUCAACUGCUAAUUUUCUACACAUUUGUUUCUGUUUACCCAGAAGUCCAGUCCAACGUUUAGUGAUGGAUCAUCAGAACAUCCAAGUCCAGUUUCUGUUCUCAAUGCAGAAAUCUACAGAGAGAUCAAACCAUCUCCUGUGAAAAUCCAAGCUAGUGAAGGCAGUAAGACAUCUCUAUAUACAUCUUUAUUGGAAAAAAGUAAAUUGUUUUAUGUUUUCAAUCAUAUUCUUUCCAUUUCUGACUUGGAAAUUGAUCUUGUAACAGGUGUUAAUGGCCCUAUUGACUUGGGUGUUGAACAUUGCGAGGAGGACCAGUGGAAUCCAGCUUAUAGCUUCUCAAAGACGACAACCAGCUUUUCGCCAGAGAUGAACCGAAAGAAACUUCAGAAUGUUGAGCAUUUGGUUCAAAAGCUAAGAAGACUAAACUCUAGCCAUGACGAAACCAGUCAAGAUUACAUUGCAUCUUUAUGCGAGAACAGUGAUCCUAACACCGAUCACAGAUACAUUUCCGAGAUUCUUUUAGCCUCUGGUCUUCUCCUCAGAGAUCUUGGCUCAGGAUUAACAACUUUUCAACUGCACCCUUCAGGCCACCCAAUCAAUCCGGAGCUGUUCCUUGUUCUUGAGCAAACUAAAGGAUGCAGCAGCAGUAGCAGCAACGAAAAGCUCAACCGCAAACUUGUGUUCGAUGCUGUUAAUGAAAUGCUCGUGAAGAAGCUUCCUUUUGUUGAGAGCAAUGUAGAUCCAUGGAUGAAGCAAGCGAAAACGAGGAAGAGGGUCUUAAGUGCACAAAAUCUCUUGAAGGAACUAUGUUCAGAGAUAGAGACACUACAAAAGCAAGCGAAGAAGAGAUCAGAAGACUUGUUGGAGGAAGAAGAAGAAGAAGAUUUCUUGAAAUGUAUAUUGGAUGAAGAUAUGGCAAUCCGAUCUGGGAAAUGGACAGACUUUGAUGGUGCAAUCCCUGGUGUAGUGCUUGACAUGGAGAGGCUUCUCUUCAAAGAUCUGGUGAAUGAGAUAGUGCACGGUGAGAUUGGUCGGCUGCAAGGAAACUCGAGGAGACAGAAAAUGGUUUUGGCUGACGAGUAGAUAUUGAUUUAUAUAAGUCGUCUUUCUGAUUCUCUGUGUUCUAAAGCCGUAUAUAUAUAUAUUACAAAUUUACAAGUCAAUAGUACAACAUUCUCCAUAUGAUAUUCUCUAUUCAUAUCCCAAAACAUUGUGUUAAUCAUUAAGACAAUAAAACUUCAGAAGCUAACAGAAUCCAUCAAAUGGUUUCGUUCUAGUUUGACUUCCUAUGAAUCUCAUCAGGUUCGAAAAUGGUAGAGAUUUUUAGGGAUUACUCAAUUUGAGAAGAAGAGAGUGAAACGAGAUUUUAGGGGUUUAACAAAAAAAAAAAAACUCAACUUUGGGGAAAAAAAAGAAGCUAGCUUUACAACUUCGUCGCCGAUCAGCUGAAUCAACGGUCAAGAUCAACUCAAAACGAUAAACAACGGUCUAGAUUGUAUCUUCACGAAUCGGAGUCUUUCUUUUACAUAAUAAAGUCAGGGUUUUUCCACUACUGAGCGAGAGAAUUGAAAAACGUUGGGGGUUUCUCACUACCCAGAGAUUAUCAUCAUUCACCCAAAAGGUGUGUAAAAUCAAUUGCUUUCGCGUAAAAUUCUCUGUUGAUUUCCGAGUUCGAUCGUAUUUUCUGAAAGUUUCAUUUGCUAGAUCUUUCUCUUUCUAGUUGCUUCAUUUCCCUCAAUUCCUUGUCUAUGCGUCUCUUACCAACUCGAGAAUUUGAUUUGGAUCCUACAUGUGUUUUGUCUGUGUUUCAUUUCUCUGUUCUGAGUGAUGCUAAUAGAUGGAUUCAUCAGGAACGAGAUUAGUGAGUUAAAGUUGUAAGCUUUUGUUGACUCGAUUCUUAUAGAUUACUGCUUUCUUGAUUCUACCCGGAAAACGUUAAUGUCUGAAACAGAUCUACUCCAUAAGAUUUCACCUUGUGAUCGAUCACCAAUCUGUCUACAUUCUAAAGUUUGUUCUUUUUGAUUUUGUCUUCUUGAAAAUGUGCUUACAGAUUGAAGAAGAUGCAUUACAUGGGUUUGUUUAGUAGGGCUGGAAACAUAUUUAGGCAGCCUAGAGCGUUGCAGGCCUCAAACGCUAUGUUACAGGGCAAUCUUUCAUUAACUCCAUCCAAACUCUUUGUUGGAGGUGAGACUCCAAAACUUCUGUUUUCUCUUGAUUCUUCAUAGAGAGUUUUCUCUUUUGAGUGUUUGGUGGUCUUAAGGGUCUCAUUCUGUUAUAUGGUGCUUUUUUUCCAGGCCUCUCACCAGCUACUGAUGUGGAGCUCUUGAAAGAAGCUUUUGGCAGUUUUGGAAAAAUUGUUGAUGGUAGCUAUCGUUUUUGCAGCUGUCUCAUUUUUCCAUUGGUUUUUUCUUCUCAUUGCUGACUAAAAUAUUUCUUUGCUCUUCGCAGCGGUGGUGGUUUUGGACCGUGAAAGUGGUUUAUCAAGGGGCUUUGGUUUCGUAACAUAUGAUUCGAUCGAAGAUGCUAAUAACGCAAUGCAAUGUAUGCAUAAUAAGGUGAUACCAAUUUUCCGGCUUCUUUUGGUUGCUAAAUAUCAUGCCAUGCGUCUAAUUUCUCUCUCACUUUAUUUUCUUUCCACACCUUAAAAUCUUCUGACUUUGUCACAUAAGUUUGUUUCUAGUACAGUAGUCUGUAUAUUAUCAUUUGUCAUCUAGCUUGUAAUGCUACUCCUGUCUCUCUCGUUUGAUAAUAAACACUUUUCGUAAAGAAUCAGAAUGCGAAAUUAAACCAUUCUUUUUAUUGCUUUGUUUAUCUCAAUUCUUUAGACAGAAAGAGUAAUGUUUUGGUACCAUGUUACUGCUUCAGAAACCAAUGGGAUUGUUCUUUCUUUCUUUGCUUGAUUUGUCAAUCUGCCAUUUAUAGAGUUUCCUGCUUAAACAGGAGCUUGAUGGGCGAAUAAUUGGAGUGAGUCCAGCUGAUUCAGGAGGUGGUGGUGGCAGUGGGGGUGGGGGUGGUUUUGCAAGAAGGGGAGGUUAUGGUGGUGGUCGUGGUGGAUUUGGUCGCGGUGGAUUUGGUCGCAGUGGAUUUGGUGGUGGUGGCUAUGGCUUUGUUCGUUAACUGGGCAUCCAGGAAUGUCUACCACCAAGAUUGAUUAGUCUGUGGUUUAAUUUUCUCUUCACAAAGACCACUAUUUUGUUAUAACAACGCUCUUGAUGUUUGAACAAACAUAUCAAGCGGCUAAAGUUGGCAAAAACAUUUGUUGAUUCAAUGGUAUUUCACACAAAUUCAUAAAAAAAGGGUACAAAUUUGGAGAUAUGAAUAAUGAGUUUAGAUAAACGAGAAUAAUCACUAUCUUUUAGUCCAAUGAGUUUAUGAGAGAUUCAAACUUAAAGAUAAGCCAGUCUGCUUUUGCUGCAACGGCUUCACGAAGCUGAACUCCGGCGUAGCAUAUGAACAAGUCUGCGCCACCAGGUUUACGUGCCUGCAAGUGAAUUACCUUAGUCACUCAGACAGUAUUUGAGAGUUCAUCGUUAUCUGCAAAUUCUCAGUAGAUAAUAGCUUACUUCGAGAUCAGUAGCACCAUCUCCAAUCAUGGCCAUAGUCUUGUAGAGACGACCCUGGAAAGAACCAAGUCUCAUUGGUACAAAGUGUUGUAUUUAACAAGAGAUAUGUAGCUUGCAAAUUAAUAACGUUCGAUGAACCUUUCGUAUUUGUUGCACAGCCUUGGCUUUGCCUCCACUUCUUGAUGUAGGUUCGUUCUCAUCAAAGCCCAGAAACUCGCCGGAGUUUCCAAAUAGAAGAUUGUUAGCAAAGAUAUUCUCCCGAGGGAUGCCAAGAAUCGAUGCUACAGGCUACAGUGAAAAGAAAUUCAUUCAAAACCUUAUCACCAUGAUUGAGUAGUCUACACAAGAAUUGAUGCAUUAGGCCAUAGUAAAGAAUAUGAAGAAACAGGUGUGUGUGAGAGAGAGAGAAGAGUACAUUGAUCAUCUGUCGAAAACCUCCAGAUAUCAAAUAGACAUCAAUAUUAUUGGCUCUGAGUUUCUUGACCAACUCUUCAAUGCCAGGGGAUAGCCUACACAAUCCAAAGAAACACACUAUUAAAACACAUUUCAGAAAACAAUCUGGACUUAUGCAGAGAAUCAAGCAAGCUAGAUGUUAACCUCUAUAUUGGUCAAAGUCUAAUUCAAGACAAGAACUGGGGCCAAUGGAACACUUACAAGUAAAAUCUAUCUUUAUUUGUGAAACGAUUUCUUUAGCAGAGUGAAUCAAGGGGAAGUAACUGUAAACAAAAACAAUACCUCGGGGGUCUGUUUUCGAGAUAUUCCUCAACUUUUGAAAGAGAAGGCUUGAACAAAGAAAGUCUUGCAGCUAGAGCUUCUUCAAAUGGAACAGAUCCACCCAUCGCUCUAAGAAAAGCAAUACUCGAUAUGUUUACGUAAAAAAAAACUCAUCAGAGCUUUAGCAUAUAUAUGCGUUGAGAUGGACCACAAACCUGGCAGUCCAUUCAGCAACAGCCUUUCCAGCUCCACAAAACUCAGCAAGUUCAUCAAUACCUUCAUCCACACAAACCGUGCUAUCCACAUCGAAACAUACCGCUUCAACACUUCGCCAAAGAUCAAGAAUUUCUAGCAAUUUAUAAAACCAACAACCAACAGUAGAAAGAAACUCAGCAAUCUAUAAACAAUUGAAAAGCUCAAAACAGUUUCUAAGAAUUCUCAAUUGCACAACCAUGUACCAGAUGUUAUUCCCUAAAUCCAAAUACAACAGAUUCUAAAGCAAUGAGUAGUAGUAGUUUACCUUUAGAAGGAACAACGUUGCUUUCGUUCCCCAAAGCCGACAACUCUUGUGGCUGCACAGAAGCAGUCACUGGACGAAGCAAUUUGGGAUGGUGCAUGAUCGAGACAAGACCUCUACAAGGAUAUCUCCUUAACUCAAUGCAAGACGAAUUAGCAAAAAGUGAAGAGAGCUGUCUUCUACAGGGAAGCUGAACUGGCACAACCCUUGAAGUAGCUAUUGCUUCCAUUGAAACAGGAGCUGCAAACAAACCACAAGAAAACAAGAGUGUCGAAUAAUUACUCACAACAUCUGGGGAAAAAAAAAAAAAAAGGAAGACAUUUUAUGAAUCUUAGAAAUGAAAAAGAAAAAAAAAACUAAAUUUACAAAGACGCACAAUUUGGUCGAAUUAGCUAACAGAUAAUCAAACUCAUAAAGAUUUCAUCAGAAAAAACUGAGAAGUGAACGAGAUCCAAUGUAACGUUUGGAUGCAAUGGAUGUAGAGGGAAUCCACGUGAUCUAUCAAAUGGCUAAGUAGAAACCGAAACAUCAAAACCCGAACAGAAAGAGAGCUUUACGAUAUACGAUUGAGAUCUGUACCGUGAGGAAGAAGAUCAGACGAGAACAAUUACCAACCGGAAAAAUCGCCGGCGGUCGUCUUCGGCUGCUGCUUUGGAUGAUCGAUCAAUAAUAAUUAAAAAACAAAAAAAAAAAAGUCACUGAGAAGAGUGUUGUUUGGUUGGUGAAAACAUGGAUCAACCGUCAAAAUGACAGUUUUGCCCUUUAUUAGUUUAACUAAACCGUCAAAGUUGUUCUUUUACGUUUCGUUUUGGUUUGGCUGGUUAGUCAUUGCCAGUCAAUUCAGACCGGUAAGUGUCUGCUCUGUUCUGUUACCCCGUCGUUACCAUUCCGGUGGACAUAGCCUUAAAUAUAUAUGUCUCAUGUACAAUUUUUUUUCAGAGGCAAGUGGGAAACAGCUGGAAAACCAGACAAAGAUGGAACAAAACAAUGUCUCUCUCUUCAAAGAUUCCAUCAUUACAGUAGAAAGAGACCCACACGACUCACAUGAUCCCAUUAAUCACUUAGUUAGCUAAACAAGUAGAAGGGUAAGAAGAGAGUGAAGAAGACUAUGACUCCAAAUCUUGGGUUUUGGAGUUUGAAUCCAAAGGAUGGAUCUGUGUAAUCCGGGUUAAUACCGACUGUUCCAGAUGGUAUUCCCAGACCUCCUCCUGUUGAUGGUGUGAUUGUGUAGGGUCUUGUAUUAGUUGUUGUAGGGACUCUUGUCGAAGGUGUUGUCGUCACUGGAGUCGUUGUCCCACUACCACUGCAUUAAAUGGCAUAGAACAACAAACAUACAAACACAUCUCUUAGAUUGUAGCAAUCAGCUCUAAACAAAGAUCUAGCUAGAGUGCAACGAGCCUCAAGAUCAAAGCCAAUUCUUGUUUCAAAACAACAAAUAAGGAGUGAAGAAAGAAAGAACGAUCUGUACCUGGCACUUGCAGGGAAAGGACAAGUUGUGUAGCCUAUCAUAAGACCACAAUGAUACAAGAGUUAGUUACUUAUAAAAAAUAGAGAUAAGUUCCACAAUCUAGUUUCAAAUCUGUAUAGAGGAGAAUCUUGAGGUGUGAUACUAUAUAAUAAGAUAAUGGAUACUUUAUUUAUCAUAUCAUUCACAUUGAAACAUGUGAAGUUAAGAUUAAUAUAAACUAUCCUUUCUGAUUUGCUUUCAAGUUGGGUUCCAUUUUUCAACUACUGCUUUUAACUUUACCUAGUUAAGUUACCAAAGGUGAACAAAUUGUUUUUGCACUAAUUAAAAUGAAUAAAGGCGGAGAAGUUGGUAGGAGAGACUCACUAGGAUCAGAGGCUGAGACGGUGGCUGUGCCAGCAAAGUCACAAGUGCCCGGAGACUGACCUUUCUUCUGAAAGAAGCUGUUGACGGCGUAGGAGCAAUGAGACUUGACGGUGUUAGGGUUAAAGCAAGGUCCGGUCUGGUGAAUGGGUCCACAAUCAGCUCCUGCACCACAUGCGUAGUCCAAUGUCUUCUGCAGCAUUGCUUCGCUUAACCCUUCUUUGCAUACACACCAUGUCCCACCUAUACAUACAUACAUAAACACUUUCAUGACCAUUCUUCGAAUCUCAUUCACUGACAAUGUGUGAAAUGGAACCUAAAUGUGUAAUUCAAGAGGGAACAAGAUUGUUGAACUACACAGUCAAAAAGGAAACAACUUUUUAUGAAAAGAAGGUAUUGGUAAAAGCAAAAAUGGCCCUUAUUUGUGGAAAAUUUCAUUAAAAACUAUGAAAGCUAAGAAGUUUGAGACUGUGUUCUGUUCUAAAACAGAGUGGGAGAAAGAAAAUAACGAAAAAAAAAGAAGAAUCUUUUUCCCGUCAAAAGAAAAGAAGAGGAUCUAUAUGAGACAGAGAAGGAUUAUUUUAUUUAAACUUUGCAGGGUUUGAAUAGAGAAGAAGAUAUUCUUACUUGAGUGACCAACCAUGGCCAACAAAAUCACAGCAAGAACAACAACUGCCAUGGUCGCUGUACCAGAACCAAGCACUUUUGGAUUCAGCUAGUUGCAGGAAGAGAGAAGGAGAAGGAUAAUGGAGGAGAUUGAGAGAAGGUUUUGAAGGUAACAAGAGGUGUGAAUAAAGAGAGAGAAAGAGAGUCACUGCAUUGAAGACAGUGAAAAAGAAAUGCCUUUUUUGUUGCUUAGAUCCUGCAGAAAAAUGAUGUCUUAUUACUUAUUACAGUCUUUCUACUCCUAAAUACAUAAUCAGUUAGAAAAUGGGAAAAGAAAUACUCAACUAUAUUUAUAUGAGCAAAGAAUGGACUGUUUUAUUUUAAAUAAUAAUAGCCAAUAAAAUAGCCUUUAGUGCUUACAUUACUACUAUUUAGUUAAGGUAGCUCCAAAAAAUAUUUUCUUCUAAGACAUUUUUCAUCUACACAAAAAAGGAAAUUAAUUUUCAUAGUCAAUAUGUAUUAAUGACCGCACCAUCUAAAGGUUAUGAAGAGUGAGUGUAGCCGUGCGGCAUUAUCUGUUUCGUACCAUCCAAUCCUUUUAUGUCCGUUGGAUCCUUCCCACAUCGAGCGGUGGAUCAUUUAAUCCCAUCAUAGCCGUUGGAUUCUUUCUGUUUCCAGUUAAUAGGAACCAUCAGUCAACGAUUCUAUAGUUACAUAAAAGUUGAGGCUAAAAGAUUCACUCUUUUGAUGAGGCUAAAAAACAAGAUCAAAUGACUAAUUCACAAAACCAAAUAUUCAAAUUGAAGAAAGUACUUUUAUUAUAUCAAAUAGUCAAAAUUACGGAUUGUUCUAAUUCUAAACGUCCUAACCUGGACUAUAAAUUACGUAAGAUUACUAUUUGUAGAAUAGUUGAAUAACUCAAACUAACACCAAAAAACUAGGGUCUAAAACAAUAUGGAUUAACUUCCAAUCUUUCUUCAUCGUUCUUCAAUCUUUAUCUUCUUCACGAUGUGACCUUCAUCAUUCUUUGACUUCUUUUUCUUUUGUUUUGUGCACCAUUCUUUGACUUCUUAUUAACAAAACCUCCGGUCUUACCAAUUCGGUAGACAAGACCAGCUUUUACUGCGCUUACAUCUAUGUACACAAUCGAGUUCUCAGCGAUUUCUUCUCGCACAAUCAUCUUCGACAGGACUGUGACAACAUUCUUCUCCAGCCAUCUCCUAAUGGGUCUAGCACCGUACACCUAUAUAUAUAUAUAUAAUCAUACAACAUUUAACAACUUAAGCAUAACAUACUUUUAAGUGAGAAGCAGGGAUCAGAGGUUUACCGGGUUGUAACUAGCUUCUAAAAUGUAGUCCAAUGCAUCAUUUGUGACAUCCAAAGCUAUACCUUUCUCAGCUAGCCUGAUAACAACAUUCUUCAUUUGGAGCUGAGCCACUUUUCUCAAAUUCUCAUGCGACAGAGGAUCAAACACCACUAUCUCAUCCAAUCUGUUUAGUAGCUCUGGCCUAAAAUGCUUUCUCACAGCUUUCAUCACGCGGUCUUGAGCCACUUGCAUUGUCACUUCACCUGUAAGGCCUGAGAUAAGGUGGUCAGCACCAAUGUUUGCAGUCAUUAUUAUCAUUGAGUUUUUGAAAUCGACUGUCCUCCCUUGCGAGUCUGUUAAUCUUCCUUCGUCUAGCACUUGAAGUAGUAUGUUGAAUAUAGAAACAUGGGCCUUUUCAACUUCAUCAAAUAGUACAACGCAAUAAGGUCGGUUCCUCACAGCUUCAGUUAAUUGUCCACCUUCCUCAUAACCAAUGUACCUAAAAAGAGUAAGACAAUCAUGUGAGUUUCCAUUAUAGCAUUUGAUCCACAUAGGAGUUGUCUAGCAAGUUACCCAGGUGAUGCUCCAAUGAGUCGAGUAAUCGAGUAUUUUUCCAUAUACUCUGACAUAUCAAGCCUAACCAAAAGGUUUUCAUCGUCAAAGAGUUGCUCAGCGAGAGCCUUAGCUAGCUCAGUUUUGCCAACACCAGUUGGACCGAGGAAGAGGAAGGAACCAGUGGGUUGUUGUGGACGUCCAAGUCCAGCCCUCGACCUUAAAAUUGCAUCAGCCACAGCGUCCACCGCUUGGUCUUGUCCAACAACCCUCUGGUGUAACCUAUCAGCAAGAGAAUUUAGCUUCUCCUUGUCGUUCUGGUCAAGUUUAGUCACUGGAAUCCCAGUCCAUUGGCUCACUAUCUCAGCAAUGUUAUCCGGCCCAACAGUUUCCGUAAGCAUUAGGUUCUCUUUAGAACUCUCUUCUAGUUUUGCUAGUCCAGAUUCCACUUGUUGAAUUUCCCCAUAUCUUAGAUCAGCAGCUCUAGGGAGCUUAUGUUGCCUCUCAGCCUCCUUUAGAGCAGACAUGAGCUCUUCCCGUUUCUGUUUAAGCUUGCGAAUCUCAUCAAUUAUCUUCUUCUCAUUUUGGUAUCUCAAUGUAAGAGGCUGAAGCUUGUCCCUCAAGUCAUCAAGCUCUUUCUGCACCUGCAUAUAUAAAAACAUAUAAAGGGAAAUUAUAGGUUACACAAUUAAGCAGCUACAAAACAGACCAACGUAUAUAAAUAAAGAUCACGAGAAUAUAAGUUACCUUCACAAGACGAGCUACACUGGCUUUGUCCUUAUCCUUUUCGAGGGCAUGAAGUUCUAUCUUUAGCUGCAUUCUCUUUCUUUCAAAGUCAUCAAUUUCUUCAGGUUGACUAUCAAGCUGGACUCUUACAUAUGCACAAGCCUCAUCAACCAAAUCAAUAGCCUUAUCCGGUAAUUUUCGACCUAAUUAAUAAGCACACACACAAAACAUAUAACAACUUAUCAGAGAGAGAGAGAGAGAAUAACAUAAAUUAAACAAGGAUGCAUGAUAUAUAAAGAAAUUACCAGUAAUGUAACGAGCAGACAACUGAGCAGAAACAACAAGAGCUGUGUCUUGGAUAGAGACACCAUGAUGUAAUUCAUAUUUCUCUUUAAGCCCUCUAAGAAUAUAUAUUGAUAGUCUCAGGCACACUUGGCUCAGCUACAUAGACUUGCUGGAACCUUCUCUCAAACGCAGCAUCUUUCUCAAGAUAUGUUGAGUAUUCGUCACGCGUAGUAGCCCCAAUGCAACGAAGCUGGCCUCUAGCUAACAUAGGCUUAAAGAAAUUGGCAGCCUCUAUGGCCCCGCCAGCACCAAGAACCAUGUGGAUCUCAUCGAUAAAGAGAACAAUUUUGCCUUGAGCUUCCUUAACCUCUUCCAACACAUCUUUCAAUCUUUCUUCGAAUUGUCCUGGGUAGGAUGCACCAGCAGCCAGUGCACACAUGUCCAAGGCAACGAGUGUUACAUCAGUAAGAAAAUUCGGCACGUCUCCGUUAAAUAUCCUUUGAGCCAAACCUUCCACCACAGCAGUUUUGCCAACCCCUGCUUCUCCGAUUAGAAUAGGAUUGUUCUUCGUUCUCCUUGACAGAAUCCUAACUACUCUUUUUAUCUCCUUGUCUCUGCUUCAAGUUUCUCUGCUUGUUUAAUCAAAUCUCUCCCAUAAGUUUUCAAACCAUCAUGAUAUGAAGCCCUAUACAUUCUCUGUAGUAGAUAGACACAAGACUACCAAGAGAGAGAGAGAGACGAAUCAAUAUAUUGUUCCUCCUAGGUUAAGAAGCUCUUGUGUUUUGGUUUAGGAGAAGAGUCAGAAGACAACUUUCUCCGCGAGAGUUUCUCUGUUUUGUAGAAACAAUUAGAAGAAGAGAAUCAGAAAAGGAAAUCUACGUAUCUUAGAAAUUAAGAGCAUCUACAUUAGUAGUUGACCCCUAAAAUAAUUAGAAAUUCUACAUUAGUAACGAAUUACAUCAACUCCUACUGUAUGGAUUAUAAUUUUCCAUUACUAGACGGACUCGAAUUUUUAGCGAGUUUUUUUUUUUUCUUUGUUGGAUUUAAUUUCUGCAAAAUUUUGUUUUUGACCAUAAACUAGGAUCAGCAAUGGAUGCAUGCAGAUCUUUUAAUAGAUCAAGCAUGUAAUUUUGUUUUGAAGGCUUGUAAUUUUAGUUUUUUUUUUUUUUUUGGUUUAGAAAUAGAUCAAGUUAAGUUGUUUUUAUAUAUUUUUCAUAUAUAAAAAAAAACAUAAAGAAAAUUUUCGUUUAGAAAAACUUAAUUACAAAUAGAACUAAUUUUUAUUUUAGCCAAAAACUAAGCUAAAAUGUAAAAUUUACUAUUAAAUUAUUAAUUGUAUUACCUUUUGAGAAAUUGGGUUGUACCUUACAAAUAAUUGAAGUAAAUAAAUAAAAGUGAAAAUGCCACCUGGUAAGUAGGAUUAAGAUAAAAUUUACUAAAAAUGAGUUUAGUUAAUUAUAUAAUUGGUUCGACUCGUUUCCACUAAAAAUGUAACGAAAUUUAAUAAAUUGUUAAAUGUAAAAUAAUCUAGCAAAGAAUUCUGGUGAGCUUUGUGUUCCGACCCAAAAAUCAGGAAGAAGAAGAUUGGCAAACAAAAAGGAUUCACCUUUAGUGACUGAGCUGAGAGAGAGAGAUUGAAGAAAAAAAAAAAGUGUGAAGCUUGGAGAGAGAAUAACCACGUAGAGGUUUAUAAUCCGUGGUUGCAAACCAAGGACCCAGAAGUGAACACGAUAGUCAAUUUUUUUCUUUGCUAUCAUCAAUUUCUUUCCCCAAAGUUUCAACCUUUUUCAGUUUUCUGGAAUUUCUUCCGUUGAUCGAUCACUCAGAUGUCGAACGAAGAUUCUCUUCCGGCAUUCACUUUGUUUGGUUUGGAUGAUGUCGAAAAUUACGGUCUGGUGAGUCCUCCGAUUACUGGGAUUGCUUUUUCGAUAAAGAGUGUUUGCGAUUUUAGCAAUGCAUGUUCUAUUUUCCGAUUGUUGAUUGAGAUUUUCGUUAGGGUUAUUGUCUCAAUUCUCUUGCUUGAUUGAUAUUUUCCAGGUCACUGAAGCAGACAAUUCGUUACCUUUAGAUAUACACAAUCAGGUUUUUCAACUUGUGGAGAAGGGAAACCAAUCAUUCAAAGAGUCACGCUUUGAAGAGGUGACAGCUCUUUUGAUCUUUAUUUAGGGCUUGCCUGAGAUAAAAGAGUAGUGAGAAAAUUGGUUCUUGAGACUAAAAGAGUCAAUAUGUAGCAAAACAUGGUGAUACAUAGUGUUAAUUCCUUCAAUAAAACUGAUUUGGGCUAUGUUUUUUUGUUUGUUUGGAUAUCUUGUAGCUCCUUGGUGUAGUUUACUUGUGGAAUAGUUUCUUGGUUGCAUUAGUCAUAUAUAACAUCUUUAAUUCUGGCUUUGAACUGGCGAUAACUGCUUAUCAACAGUAGAAUAUUCUGCAAAUUCGUGGUAGUUUAAAGCUUUGAUGCUGAAACCCAAAUGAGACGGAUAAAUCUCUUGUUCUUGCCAAUAACAUAGCUUCUUAUUUUCCCAGGCAAUUAGCAGUUAUUCAAAGGCCAAUUCUAUUAAACCCCUUGACCCUAUUGUUCUUGGCAAUAGAAGUGCUGCUUAUAUAAGGUAAGGUUUCACAAACCCGAUGCCGUCCUUUUUACUUCCAACGGAGUUGUCAUGUUGUUUCAAUAUAAGCAAUUGGAUUGUGUAACUAGUUUUGCCUUUUUACUCAGUUUAGAAGUAUUUAACCGUGUUGACAUAAUCUAAUCUAUCUCCAUCUCUCAACCUUUUUAUCUAUAGAUUUGGCCAAUAUCUGAAGCAGAGAUCUGCAUCAAUUUCUGAAUAUAAACCUCUGAAUGGUUUUGAUAUGUCGAUGCUUGGGGAAGUAUGUAUUCUAGUUGCUUAACAUGUUACUAGCAAUUGCGAAAUUCAUUGACUCUUCUGACUCAUCCUAGAAAACUUGAUAUUUCCUGCAGCUUGCUCUUAAGGAUGCUGAUAAGCUGAUGAAUCUUCAAAGCAGUUCAGUGAAGUCAUAUAAUACAAAGGCUUGUGCCCUCAUGUUGGUAUGUGCUGAGUUAUUCUCUUUAGAUUCAUUUUGUUUUAUGUCAAUGUACUAUCAAGAGUUUCUCGGUCUACUUCAUGUCACAUGUGUUAAUUUUUAAUAUAUUCUGCAGCUAGAAAGAUAUGAGGUAGCACGUGACACUAUCCUCUCUGGUCUACAGAUUGAUCCCUUUAGGUACAUCUAUGUGUACUGUUAUUUUAUUAUGUAUUGAUGCCUAACUGAAUGUGUCGUUUUUAAGUUUGGAAUUUUCCUGAUCGCAUGAAGCGAUCCUCUCCGAUCCAAUCUUCAGGAAUUGGAGAAAGUGAUGCCUAAUUCGAUGCGUAAAACCCAUGGAAAGGCUGAGCGGUCUGAUGACUUUGAUUGCACUGUUUGCCUGAAAUUGCUGUACGAACCUGCUACAACUCCAUGUGGGCAUACAUUCUGCCGAUCAUGCCUCUUUCAGUCAAUGGAUCGCGGUGGGUUUAUAUGGUUGAUUGUUGUUAACUCCUGGAAAACUUCUUCUUUUACUAUUGUGUUGUUUAUUAAUGCUUUGUGGAAUCUAGGCAACAAAUGUCCGCUAUGUCGAACUGUCAUUUUUAUGACCCCAAGAACAUGCGCUGUCAGGUAAAUCUUUUUCACUCUCUCUAUUCUCCUUAUAGCUCCAUGCUACUAAAUAUGUAACUGUAGCGUGUGUUUUAAAAAAUUUCUACUGAAGCAACUAUGUGUUGGCAGUGUGACACUGAAUAACAUCAUACAGAAAAACUUUCCAGAGGAGUAUGCUGAAAGGAAAUCAGAGCAAGACACUCUGGUCCACUUAGGCAAUGAAAGUAUGCCCCUUUUCGUCAUGGAUGUGAUCAUCCCCUGUCAGAAGUUGUCUCUUCACAUAUUUGAACCACGAUAUCGACUAAUGGUGAGUUCUUACAAGUUUUUUCGGUUAUGUACAUUUUAGAACUUAAGUGGCCUACUCUUUGCAGAGAUUGAAUACUCGUUUAGUGUAAAGAUUGUUUCGGCUCGAUUUGACAAAUUUUUUAAAUGAUCUUAAACUGUACAAGUUGUUGUUUAUAUUUUAAAGUCUUCAUAAAGACACGGACACUCAUUUUAAGAAAAGAAAAAAACCCAAGAAAGUGAAGUGAGGAAAAGAGAAAGUGGUCUCUAAAUGAGCGCUAAUAGAUGGAAACUUUUAUGGCCACUUUAUCCACUGCAGUAGUACUGUUUGCACUAAGCACAUUGAUUAAUAUGUGUUGACUGAAACAGGUGAGAAGAAUAAUGGAAGGAAAUCAUCGGAUGGGAAUGGUGGGUAUUAUGUCCUUUUUCUUCUUUCUUCUUCACUAUACAUUCGUAAAAGGUUCCUAACUAGUAAGGUUUGCCCGUUCCAAUGUCCAUAGGUAGCUCUUGAUUCUGCGACAGGUUCUCCCGUGGAUGUUGCUUGCGAAGUUGAAAUCACAGAGUCUGUUGCUUAUUUCUUUCUGAUGAUAUUUGAUGUCCUUCAGUUGAUGAUUUUAAAUUACAAUAACUUACACAAAGUCUGCUGAUGUUUUGGAACUACACAGGUGUGAUCCACUCCCGGAUGGGCGUUUUGUCCUGGAGGUGAAUAUCAUUUUCAUUACUUCUUCUUAAACCCAUAUUACUUAGAUCUAAUCGACUAAAUCUCUGAUGCCGUAACAUAGUCAAUCUAUAGAAUUAUAGUUUUGGGGUACUUUUCAUAUGUAAGUUGUCAAAUCAUUAACUUAGUAUAUGCUUUCUGCAGCUGGAAAGCCAUAGAAGGUGCCGCAUUGUAAAAGCAUGGGAUCAAGAUGGGUAAGCUUUGUCAUUUUGAUCACUUGAUAAUAUUCGCAUGUUUUUUAAACAAUCUAUCCGUUUUCGUGUCGGAUGUGAUUGAUAUACAUGUUACCAAAUUAAAUUUUUCCUUUAUGUUUCAAGUUGUGUGAAGAUCAAAUAUUUAAUUUUGGAUCUUCUUGUGAACACGAUCGUCUGACUUUGUUUCAUAUACGUUCUUUCAUUUCAGCAUAUACAGACACAAAAAUGUUUAGCUUCUUAUUACCCUUUUUGCUUUUCAGGUAUCGUGUUGCAGAAGUUGAAUGGGUGACAGAUAUACCACCACAAAGCGAGCAAGGGAAAGCAGAUGUAUGAUUUUUCUCUGCUGUUACUUGAGUGAAUUUAUUUCCUUUCUCUUUUUUCAUCAUCUUUCUUUGUUACUUCUUAAAGCUGCGGGACCUGACGACCAGCGCAGCAUCAUUUGCUCGUUCAUGGCUAGAUAGAGCAAAGGAAGCAGCUAGACAAGGAGGUAAGCAGCUAUUCAUUUAGCUGAGAAAGGGAAUUGAAUUACUCAUGAGUUCUGAUAUUUCCAGCCUAGCUAUAAGCCUAUAACAAGUAAAACAAUUCAAUAGACCAAUAAUUCACCUGCUGUUUCUUUCAAAUCUCUGGUUAUCAAUGUCUUUCCCGACCGUCUAAUAAAACUAUCUAUGAAUCAACAACAAUUGUCUUUAUGAUUGAUUUAGAGCAAAGUAUUGAGUAUUUGCACGGCAGUUGGAUCUCUAUCUCAUACUCUAAUAGUUACCAGCUUCUGUUUUAUGACCGUAAUCGAUUGAUAGUUGUGCCACUGGCAUACUCAUAUUAUUUUAGACAUGAUGUUAGUAUUUUUCCUUUUUCUUUGCUUUUACAGACAGAAGAAGACUUGAAAUACUUCUAAAUGUUGAAUCUAUGAUACCAACGCCUCAAGAUCCUGAACGCUUCAGUUUCUGGGUAAUGUUGUUUAUCAGCAAAACACACAACUCUUGCCAUAUAUAUUCAUUUCUGUUGAAUUGUUGCUCAAUGAGUUCUUUUGCCUCAGCUUGCUACAUUGACAGAUAGGAGACCUUCAGAAAGAUUGGAACUACUUCGGCUUCAGGAUACGGGAGAGGUACUUGAUUAUCGGCUAGUAUAGAUUGCCUCGACAAAUCUCAUAGUUUUACCAGUCCUUUUCUUUUGAUUGUUGAAACUUCUUGUUGCAGAGAAUAAAGCGCGGGCUGAUAUAUCUCCGAUCAGUAGAAAGAGGAUGCAGAAUGCAAUGAACUAGCAUCAUCAAGGCAUUGUAUUGCCGAUUAAACUACAGAGAUAAACUUGUUCAUAAGAAGGUUGACAAAAACAUUAUUCAUGAUUAAAGGAAUACAUAAGAUAGAGAUCCAUGUAGGAUCACUAUCAUCCUUUGUCGGAUCCAUUGUUGUGGAUUUUGUUUGCCAGUGUAUUUUACUUAAUUACCAUAUUCUUCAUGAUGCAACUGCAGCAAAAAAAAGAAAAAAAUGAAAAAUGAAAGAUUCUUGAAAAUUAUAUCCCUUUUUAGAUACAGUUUGUUAAGUUGGUACUGUUUUAUCAAAUCUGGAAGCUUAGAGGAAACAGGUGACUAAUUCCUUAAAACCAAACUGUCAUUAUUACAUUGUUUGAGAUUGACUAAUAUUUAGAGAUUCUCAAAUUCUGAUCAGUAGACACAUGGUGAGUGCACAGAUUAUAUAACUAGAACAUAAUGUGUCACAUCUUGAUGAUACACAAUGAAAGAAGAUGAUAACACCAAGCGUCAUAAUCCAACAUCACUCCAUACACCAUCGUCACGAGACAUCGUUAAAUACCAAUGACCACCACACAUCACUAAACGAGAUGGGGUCUCAACUUUGGACAAAAUCAAUAAUUUCUGUAUAACAAAUAUCCAGAUCUUUUAUACAACUGGAUAUUUUAUAGAUAUGCUUAUGACUAUACAUUAUUACAUUAUGCCUGGAAUUCAUAAAUUGCGCUGUAGUUAUUAUAUUCUCAAAAUUUUAACUUAUUAGAGAAGAUUAUAUUAUAAAUUAACAUUAACAAACAAAAAUAAUGCUUCAUGGCUUUCGCCAUAUUUGCUUGAUCAUCACAGUUUCUGUCGUAAGAUCUGGUUAACGUUGUGUUUCUCAAACCAUCAAAAUGCAUAUAGAGUUCUUGGAGUUCUCUUCUGGAUCCCUUGGAAAGCUUUUCAUGACUCAGAAAGGUUAAUACAGAGCAAUUCAUUUCCCUUGUUUCUUACCUGCAAUUCACAAAGCCAUACAAUUGUUGCCCAUCACAGUUAAUCAUAAAACAAUCUCUUUUUCUUGUUAGCUAUUAGCAUCAUGUUUUUACCUUUCUGGAACCACGAUUUCCUAACUAGCUGGCGAAUUUGGCGUUCAUGGCAUUCCAAAAGCUCAUCAACUCCAUAAGAUUUAGACAACAAUGGCCCUGAGAAUUCGAUUUUGUCAUCAUUGUCUUCGUAACCCUGUCAAGGUCUUAAAUCAUUAAGCAUCAUUGAGUAUCUUUUUUCAAAAUGUCCUAAAAGAAGACUAAGCAAAUCAUGCAUGUUCUACUUUUUCCCCUCAAGUUUUUAGGUGAAUAUAAAAAGUGGGAAAAGAACUUAAAGCAACAAAGCUACACUCAGUCAAAUAGCAAUCACAUCAAUAUGAAGCUUUGAAAUCCAUAUCUUACUGCUUUAUAGGGGGUACACGUGAUCCCCAAACCAUUGCCAUUAGCAAGACAGCUUAACAUAAUUAUAACUUCAAUUUAUUAUAUAAGUUAAGAUUGGCAUAAGAAAGGUUGAGCUAGGAUCUUAAUUUCUCUCAGUAGAGACGUGCAAACCUAAGUAUACUUGGUCGCUAGUAUAUCAACUGGAAUUUCUGUAAUAAGCUUCCAAAAAAAAGUUUACUUCUAUAAUCUACGGACGUACCAAUUGACCCAGCUUUGCUGCCUUUUCUUCUUUCUGAUAAAGUGCCAAUGACAGUUCCUGUGAAUGAUACUCGUCAGAACCAUCAAAAGAAUCUGGUCGUUCAAGUUGCCUCCAUUUCUUUAGCAUUGAAAGCUUCAACAUCUCAUACGCCUCACGGUCUUGGGAAUCCGUUCUUUCCCCAUGUUUUUCUUCCUUUUCUUUCUCAUUGUUUUUAGAGUCAACGUCAGUAUUCUCACUGAAAGCAGGAGAAGGUCCCAACAGGUUAGGAAUGUGACCUCUUGAGAGAGAUCUAUUACGUGAUCUAACACAUAUGUCAUCUUUUCGCCGCCUUGCCCAUGCAAAACCACUUGAUACAGAGACUUGCAAAGGCCCUGAGAAAGGCACAUCUCCUUGUGAUGCGUUCUUCACAUGAGAAGCUUCAUCCUUUUCAUGACUUGAUGGCUUUUGCAUUUUCUCACAUAAAAUGGCAUCACUAUCAAUCGAAUUAUGGACUGAAUGACCAUUACGUUUCUGAAACUUCUGGGAGUGGUGCCGUACAUCCUGCAAGUAGAGAAAGGAGAAAGUUUUUGUUUUUGUUUUUUGUUUUUUUUGGCUUAAGUAAUUCCCUUCUCAGAGAUGCAUAUAGUAUGUAAACAAGAGAAUAAAUCAGAGGUACCUCAGCUGGUGCCAAUUUAGCAAAUGCAGGGGGCUUUCGUGUUGGCUUUCUCGAUUCUGUACCACGUCUCCCAUUCCCGCUGAUUUUUUUCCUGGAGUUCCAAAAUAACGUAGGACCAGACACUUCAAAUUAAGACCAAACAAUUAUGGUGCUAAGAUUAACCAAGUAAUUCCCACGGGUAAACUGUGUGUUUUCACUGUAUUUUUCUUGAAAGAUAUAGUGACAAUGAUGGUAAUGAAUAAAAUUCUGACCUUGUUGUGUCUUCUCGAUGCUUUGCAUCAAUCUCCUUGCUAGGCGAGUAUACAGGCAAACUUGAGGGAUCACAAGCAAAAGGCUUUGAAGUAAAAUACUGAAACGAACAAACGGAAUGUUUUAAAAGAUGUGACAAUACAACAAAAUAACAUCUUCCUGAAAAUCAAAGUUCCAAAUCUUCAAACAAUAAUAGCUGAAGGAUGAAAUGGUUACCUGAGAACCAAGGGCAGUAGACGCAGUCCCACGUUUGUGGGGCUGUAUAGAAAGAAGAGUUUCUAUGAGAUGGAUGUCAGCAUCGGAUAAAUCUUUCAAGGUUUCUCGGAGACAACCAUCGUAAUGUUGCUGUGGUUUGAAAAGCAUUGCAUGAGGAAGUUUGGACUUUUUCCAGUAAUCUUCAGGUGGAGAUCCACAUAGUUUGAAUAUCUUGUGCAACUGCUCGACCUGUAGCAUACAUUUUAGAAACAGCAAUCUUUGAGUUAUAUUUUCCCCGAGAAAAAACAGAGCAACAUACAGGAUCAAAAGGUCUGAAGCUACAUGUAACAUAUAUUUACAAGACAACAAUUUGUGGUUACCUCAGUUCUCCCCUGCAGAACCGGUUUCCCAAGAAUAAGUUCAGCAAAAACACAGCCAACACUCCACAAAUCAACAGAUGCUCCAUAUUCCGUUGCCCCGAGCAAAAGUUCAGGUGGACGGUACCACAAAGUCACAACUCUACUUGUAAGAGGUUGCUUAUUCCCAGAAGCAUUGCAAAAGUUAGCUAGCCCAAAAUCAGCCACCUUUAAUAUUCCUUCAUUAUUCACCAAAAGAUUUGAACCCUUGAUGUCCCGAUGCAUCACACCUCGUGCAUGACAGUGAUCAAGUCCAGACAACAAUUGUUUCAUAUAACACUUAAUCUGCAAGGCCAGACGCAACAGUCAUUGUAUUAGAAAAAAUCCGGGACAAAACCUUUCAUUAAAAGAGCAAGACGUUUUUAAUCACUAAAAGUCAAAUUGACCUGUGGAGUAGUGAAGUCGAUAUCGGGACUAGAAAGAAGACCAGUGAGAUCAUGCUCCAUAUACUCGAACACGAGAUGUAUGUUGGAAGAUAGCUUCGAAGUAACAAUACCUUCUAGUUUGAUAAUAUUGGGAUGAUUAAGUCUCCUAAGUAUCAAAAUCUCUCUAGCCAUGAACCUAACACUCUCUGGCUCAAAAUUGUCAAAUCUAACUUUCUUCAAAGCCACUAUCCUCCCAGUUUCAGUCUCUCUUGCACGGAACACACUGCUAUAAGUCCCUUGUCCAAUCUUCAAAAAACAAAACCAUUUCAUUUUCAGAGACAACAACAUUUCAAAUGUACAGAGAGUAUAAAAAAGGAACCUUUUCGAGUUUUUCGAAAGCGUCGGAUCGAAAUGGAACCCAACCAUGAAUAGCUUCACCAGCGACGUUGCUCAGCCACGCAGGCCAACCAGCUGCGACUUGCUCAGCUUCAAGGUACUUGCUCAAGUUACCGAGCCGGAAACUCACCGACUCACUCCUGCAAUUCGAACUCGCUCGACCGGACUCACUCAACUCACCGAACUCGCUCCCCAACUCACUACCACUCUUCUUCCCGCUCUUGCUCCUCCACGACAAAAGCUUCUUCUCCGUCACCGGAGGAAGAUCCUCAACCACAAUUCGACCGGAACCAGAACAAGCAUUGUCCCUGAAAAUACCAGAGUGAUCGAUCGCUGGCGUGACAGAGACGGUCUGCUUCGAGCUGACACAACCCAUUUUCCCAGAAUUUUGCUCCUCCGCGUCAAAAACACAUGUGUACCAGAAUUAUCUCUUUGAACCGGCGCCGGUUACUGUGAUUCGGAUCCGGAUUCGAAUUCCGAUCUCCGGUGAGUAGUGAAACUAUUGCUGUUUCGUUUUUCGUAAUAUAUAUACAGAGAGAAAAACUUAAGAGAAUGUUUUUUUUUUUUUAGACUUUUUGAUUUCGGCGUGAAUUGCGGAAGACGACGGUCCUUUAUAAAUUAAACAUUUAAAUCAAAAGUAAAUGUCGUGAAAUCAAAAAUAGAAAUGUUUUAGGCGAAAUCUACGGCAAGAUUUUUUCGAUCGACAAUGAAUAAUGAUGACUUGAUUGAUCCCUCUUGUUUAUUUUCCGUUUUAAGUAUUUCUUCUGUUUUUUUUUCUUUAUAUACAUAGUUCACUUUGAUAUAAUAGUGUUUUUCAUAAUUAAAAGUGACUUAACAUUGUUAAGAAAAUAUCGAAAUUGAUAGGAUUAAUUAUGCAAUGGAACGAGUUUGACUAGCGGCGACCAGUGUGAGAGUGAGCUAAUACGGCCAAAAACGGUGGUGGGUCGUUGUUGACUAGUUUCGAUCAUUUGUUUUUAUUUCUUAUAAUUGUAUGUAGUUUAUACUAUAAAACAUACUAUAAACCUCACACUUGUCAUGUGUAUGUAUACUUGAUAGUUAGUAGUAUACGAUAACAUGUUUUAAUGUAAUUUCUUAUUCGUAUUGGUGUGUACUUGUACUAUAUCGAUCGAUUUUCGGAAUUUUUUUUGUUUAAUAACCGAAGUGGUAUCAAAAUGCUCCUUUUUAGAGUAAGAUAAUUCUUUGGGAUUUGAGCUUUGACCCUUGGGCAAUCAAUACUUAUUCCACAUUAAAUUUUUGAAUUAUUGUUGGAUACAUAUAUCAUGUGACUCUCGAGAUAACGGAGUUUUCAACCAGCCGAUAUGUGUAUAUGUGGGAGCUGCAUUUAUUGUUCAAAGCCGAAAUUCGAACACCCAUUGAUACAACUACCAAUUUUUGAAAUUUUAUUUAGGUACUAAUAAAAGAAAGCUUUUUUGUUGGAAUUUGAAUGCUACUAUAUUUUCUUGAUAAAAUUUUCCACUAUUCAAUCAAGAAAAUAUAAACACUUUAAAUAUCAGAGAGAAGGAAAAAAAAAAAGCUAAAAUUUAUGUUGACUUUAACUUUUUGGCAGACAUCUUUCUUUUAUAGCUCACACAUAAUUGCGCACCUUUCCCGUUUUUUGAUAUUCCAUGUCUCCAUAAGAUCUCUAUUGUAACAGUAACUAUUAUUUCUCGACUAGUGAAUUAGGUAGUCGAUAUAUUAACAAUCAAUUUGUUGACUUAAAGUUAGGUACUAAUGUAAGCUGAAUUUUAUUUCCAAUUUGUAUAGAAUCAUUACCACUCACACAAACAAUGGUUUCCAAUGUAUUGUAAAAGAUUGUGAUGGAUCAAAGCUUUACAAAGACAUGGUUGAUUACUUUCUAUGAUGGUAACACACAUGCGGCUUUACCAUCUUUGGACUUGGACUGACCAAGCAGCUCAGCUACGGUUUUGCAGCGACAUUCUUUUCCAGGUCGUAACACAUCUCCAUAAACGGCCAUCUCGAUAAUAUCUAGCUCCUUGUCUGCAAUGUUUACAUUAGAAGAAAUGAAAGUGAAACCAAAUAUGCAGAGAGUAGCCACACAACACACACUUGAGUCCCACUUGUGUAUAAGUGUAACUGUGUUAAGAGGAGAAAACAUGCCAAGAGAUCUAUACUCUUUCGAGUCUUUUUGAAAAGAAAAAUGCAUUUCCCAAGAGCAUUUAACACUUUGCUUCACUCCUUCUAAAAUGUAAACUAGCAAAACCUAAAAACAAUUCACGGCAUUGCUUUAGCUUUUAAAGAAGAUUCCUAGUGGCUCAAGAGCAAUUCUUGAUAUGAUCAAACCAACAGAGAAAAGAGAAAGAAGAUAUCUAAAGCAAAAGCAGCUCCCACAUGUAUGAGAUUGGCAUAACUUGUAACGAUCAAACUUGUUCAACAAAACACUUUAUAAAGACAGAACGAGUGAAAGGCCAUUUCGCAAUUGAGCUAUCUAGCAGAAGAACAGUCUAUAACACUUGAUGAUCUUAAUCUCUACAUGAAAUAUAUAUAAUCAACUAUAAUUCACAAUCAAGAUUGUCCAAUCUUAGCUACUUAGCAUAUGUUACAUACCCGUAAAUUGCAGACCACAAGAAUAGCUCUUAAGAGUGGUGGCAUCCACAUUUUCUUGAGCUGAUUUGAAUCUGUUAACUCUAGUUUGAAGAAUCUGACAAUUCUCAGCUAUCGACUCUCCACCUAUAUACACAAAAACAACAAUCAAGACCCUAAUUUCAAAAUGUCAAUUCGGGGGAAGCAGUGAGAAGAGAUGAGAAAAAAAAUCAAACCUUUGGAGUAAGGAACAAUGUGAUCAUACUCGAAACAGAGACAACCGUUGCAAUUUCCGAAGCGUUUGCAGACGAUGUUACCGGCGGCAUCUUUACGCCACCUCUCGGGAUGUCGACCAGGUACGGUGUCAGCAUUAGCCCAGCACUUGUUCUUCGCCUUUCCAUCGAAGAAACGAGGUCUCUCUUCUCCGUUUGAUUUUACAUUGGAGCGUGACGGCGAUGAAGGUGGCGACGGAGGAGGAACGGCGGCGGCGGCGGAGAAGGAUGACCCCAUCGAUCGAUCUCGCGUACUCUCUCUAGAAUUUUGGGUUUUUGAACCGGCAAGGGAAAUUAAAUUCGGUUCAAAAUAAACUAGACCGAACCGGUAAUCUUGGGCUCGUUGUUAAAUUCUUCUUUUUCGAUUGGAAAAAUUAUACCGGAAUUUGUACUGAUCGGAAAUUGCUAAAUAAGACGGCGAAAGAAACUCCGGUGUCUUCGUCCAUGACCUCCGACUGUAAACUGUUGUACGCUUGACUUCGGGUUUGUCAUUUCGUUUGAAUUUCUUUCUGUUUUCCGUUUUAAUCCCAUGAUUGAUUCCACCUUCGAUUAACUUCUACUCCAUAGAUAGUCAUGAAAUUAGUAUCUCUAUUGUGUGUGUGACUGUGUUUGGUGUUUCGUAACUAGUGUUGAAUUCUUAGUUAUGACUUAUGAGUUGCUGUUUGCUUUGGCCUUCCAUGGUGAUUUCUUACGGGCUUAAGUAUGUAAUUGGUUUCUGCAAAUAAAAACCAGAAGAACGUGAAUGCUUAUUUAGUGACUUUUAUGAUCAUAAUUCAUGGGUAAAAAAGGUUGAAACAUGUUGCUAUUUUGUGGUCCUGAAUGUAGAAGUAGAACUGAAAUGGGACUUGAUUGCUAAACUGCUAACGUUGCUAUUUUGUGGUCCUGAAUGUAGAAGUAGAACUGAAAUGGGACUUGAUUGCUAAACUGCUAACGUGAAAGCUUCUUCUAGCUUUUCUUCCCUCUCACAGGUGUUGCAAUUUACUAAAUUAGUGAGGAAAAUCUUCUUUUUCACCUUGUUUUUAGGAAAAAUCAGCGCGCUGUAUUGAUCUUAGUAUAUGUAGGCUAUUUGAAUUUUAGAACCAUAUACUUUACUUUAGGUGGUCUAAGUAGCAAGUACAUUGCAGACAAACCUGAACAACGUUUUUCAAACUCGACCAUGAAAGGGAUUCAUCCGUCCUUCUUCUUCUUCACCAUAAUCCUUCACACUUAUUCUCUCAAUUUCUAUCGGGUUCAGGAGAUUCUCUUAAGUGUGUGUUUGUCUUUUUGGGUGCUAAAUCUGUUUGCUUUAUGUUGUGUGCUAGCCUUCUGCUAAUAUCAUCAGUGCUACUAAAUGUUUUGCAGAUACACUAUGCCUUUAAGCUGUUAAGAAAUCUCGUAUAUAGACAAGGGACUAUGACGUUUGGCAAUGAUGAAACAGCAGUAAAAGUUGUUAGUCCUGUAUCUUUACUUAUUUUCGUAGUUUUACUGCAGCAUGCUGAAAAAGGAUGAACAUUUCUUCUGUUUAAUGGUUCCAGGUUUGCAGCAUGUUAUAGAGGAGCUUGAAAAAGAAAAUGUUGUGAAAGAUUUUGCAAAUAUAACUUCGCCUGCUGGAAGUCGUUUCUUAUGGUCAGUUGACUAAUUGAGCUCUUUACCACCUCCUAUUCCAUUUCAUGAAUUCGUUUACAUGAUUUGUUUUGGAUCCAAGUUGUUAGUUCUUAUUAUAUUUUUUAGAGCUUUCAACGUGACGGUUUGAUGGCAUUUUACGUUGUAAGACUAUGCAUUUAAUUUCCAAAAGUUCCAGACCAUGGCUGAUAUAGGUGUAAUACGAGUAGAUUGUUUACAUUUGUGUAUACAUGGAUGGUUCUUGUUUUAUAUGUAUGCUCAGGGUUGCUUAAGUUUGUUGAGGUACCCAGCAUGCUUUUGAAACCUCUCUUGCAAAAUAUCCAAGCAACCUGGCAUGAAUAUUCAUAUGUUGAAGAUGCUAAAUGUUUUUGUUUUUCAUUUAAUUAGAUGGUAAAUGUUGGCAUGCAUAUAACGGAGCAUUUUCUCCGACAUCAAACAUAUUUAAUUACGACCACGUUUCUCCAUUAUCCAAUUUAAUAUUCUUUAAUGAUUUUUAAAAGAGUCUCUUCAGAUUGUCCAAGUCCAUCAUUUCUAGUCUUCCAUCAGGAUCCUGCCAAAAAUCUGAAAUUUCAGAGCGGUGUAGUUCAGAGAGGGAAAGAGUGUGGGAUCUACACAUUCUGUGAGAAAAAAAAGACAGUCUUCACUGAUUAUGGUUAUUAGUUAGACUGUGUCCGGAUUCAAGUGCCAUCUGGAGGUCUCUCCCUGUGAGUGAAAUCUAGAGACAGAGGAGGCAACAAGUGAAAUGUUUCAGGAUGGGUAUAGAUCCUCAGGAAGUGGCGGAGGACUAUCGACAACUGCUGUAUCAAACGGUGGAUGGAGAAUCCGUGGUUUUUUGCGCGGUUGGCAGAUCCAGAAUACCUUAUUUAACAUCAAGAUCAUGAUUCUCUGCGGCUUCGUGACCAUUCUCAUCCUACUUGGCACAAUCAGUAUUGGGAACUUUGGAAGCUCCAACGCCGACUCUGUUAAUCAGAGUUUCAUCAAGGAAACCAUUCCGAUUCUUGCGGAGAUCCCAUCUGAUUCGCAUUCGACGGACUUGGCUGAGCCGCCUAAAGCUGAGGUUAGUCCCAAUGCGACGUACUUGAAUGAGCCGCCUAAAGCUGAGGUUAGUUCCAAUGCGGCGUACACUCUAGGGCCCAGAAUCACCAACUGGGAUAGUCAACGCAAGGUAUGGCUGAAUCAGAACCCUGAGUUUCCUAGUAUUGUCAAUGGCAAAGCUCGAAUAUUGCUUCUCACUGGGUCUUCCCCGGGACCCUGCGAUAAACCAAUUGGAGACUAUUAUCUAUUGAAGUCCGUGAAGAACAAGAUUGAUUAUUGUAGACUCCACGGGAUAGAGAUUGUGUAUAACAUGGCGCAUUUGGAUGAGGAACUCUCAGGGUAUUGGACGAAAUUACCUAUGAUUAGGACAUUAAUGCUUUCUCAUCCAGAAGUAGAAUGGAUUUGGUGGAUGGAUAGUGAUGCUUUGUUCACUGAUAUACUGUUUGAGAUCCCGUUACCUCGGUAUGAAAAUCAUAAUCUGGUGAUACACGGUUAUCCGGACUUGCUGUUCAACCAAAAGUCUUGGGUUGCAUUAAACACGGGUAUCUUUCUGUUGAGAAAUUGUCAGUGGUCAUUAGAUUUAUUAGAUGCAUGGGCCCCAAUGGGACCAAAAGGGACGAUCCGUGACGAAGCUGGGAAGAUACUGACAGCUUAUCUGAAAGGCAGGCCAGCAUUUGAGGCUGAUGAUCAAUCGGCGUUGAUAUAUCUCUUGCUUUCGCAGAAGGAUAAAUGGAUAGAGAAAGUUUAUGUGGAGAAUCAAUACUACUUGCACGGGUUUUGGGAAGGUUUGGUUGAUAGGUAUGAAGAGAUGAUAGAAAAGUAUCAUCCAGGAUUGGGAGAUGAGAGAUGGCCCUUUGUGACACAUUUUGUGGGGUGCAAACCGUGUGGCAGGUAUGCUGAUUAUGCAGUGGAUAGAUGCUUCAAGAGCAUGGAGAGGGCUUUUAAUUUUGCAGAUAAUCAAGUGCUUAAGCUGUAUGGGUUUAGCCACAGGGGAUUGUUGAGCCCCAAGAUUAAGAGGAUCAGAAACGAGACAGUUUCUCCUUUGGAGGCAGUAGACGAGUUUGAUAUUCGAAGAAUGCGCGUGGAAACCAAACCAUAGAGCUAGGAAAAUCAAUGAGCGAAGGGAAUCGCAGCUUGGAAAGAUUACGAGAAACAUAUAGGAGAUAUACAAAAUACUAACAAACAUAAUGCAAUUUGUUUGCCUAUAGCUGCACUUGUUCCUUGUGCUUCAUUUGUCUGUUGUUGUUGAAGAGAAGUUUUAGCUGUCAAAUUCUUUCCAUAGAUGGUCAAUAUAUGGAGAAAUUUGAUUCUGCAGUUUUAUUUUGUUUUAUCUUCACAAUUUUCCUUUAAGGUUAUUAAAUAAUAUGUUUGCACAAAAUAAGGUAUUAAAUAAUGUAUUUAAAUUUUAAACCAUGGAAAUAGUCAAAUAGAUAGUUGAUCAUUUGUAGUUAUUUAAAUAAUAUAAUGGUUUUGGAGGUGUUAUCUAUAAAUUCGUAAUACUAUCUAAUAUUGUUUGGCAACCGAAACAUAUUAUAUAAUUAAAAAUUUAAUUUUAGAAAAAGAGAGAUUUACAGUAAAACUUCUAUAAAUUAAUAAUGGAAAAAAUUUAUUAAUUUAGAGAGGUUAUUAAUUUAUAAAGGUUUUACUGUAUAAUGCUGAGGUCUGAGAUCAAGAUACGAUUUUAACCAUAAAAGAGUAGUAUAGUUACUUGCUUAUCGUCGAAAAAAAAAAAAAAAUUACUUACUUAUAAAUAAAUCUACGGAGUCGAUCCCUAUUAUUAAUUAAGAAAACGCGGAAAAAUAUCCCAAGGAGAUUACACUUAAACACAUCGACACUCUUUGAUCGGAGUUUCCCAAAUUCCCGAUGGCGAAGGAAACUCCGUCGUCGUCGCCGACGUCGAUACCCUCCGGUCUCAAAGCCUACGCGGUUCCUAUUUUUCUCUUCGUCCUCGCUAUGUUCUUCCAGCUUUUCCUUCUUCCUCGUUCCUUCCCUCCUUCUCACUACGACGGUACACAAUUCUCUAAGCUCUCUUUCUCUCUCUCUCGACUAUGUACUGUGCUACAAUUACCUUCCGGGUUUGAUCGUUUGAUUUGGAUUUCCUAGUUUUGGGUGUGAAGAUGUACAGUUCAGUGGAUGACGUGAAAGAUGCGUACGAAACUAUUGCUUCUAAGUGGUAACUUUCUCGAUCUGGAUAAUUGUUUUUUUGUUUCUCUGGUUUUUACCUUGAAUUUGGAUUUAGUCCCCAUGAUUCUGCCUCCACAAUCACUCACGAGUAUUGUAUGCACUUGUUUUUUUUAUAACUAAUUGCUAGAUGAUAGUAUAUGUAGGCUUGGGCAUGGAAGGAAUGGAAUGUAAUUCCAAUUGAAUUUGAUAACUAGAAUUUAGGUGUUCUAAGUAACUUUGUUGCUGACACAUUGUAACAACCGAUCGUGACAGGGAUUCAGGUUCAGGAGAUUCUCUUCCAGCUGAUUUUAUUAAGGUUGGUCCAUUUCUUAUAUAAGUGCUACUUCUGUUAGCCUUUUUAUGUGUGUAACGUUUCUUCUAAUUCCAUCACUGCUACUUUAUAUUAUGCAGAUACAAUACGCAUAUGAGCUGUUAACAAAUCUAGUAUGGAAAAGGGACUAUGACUUAUUCGGCAUUGAUGAAUCAGUAGUAAGUUGUUUGUUCUCUAUCUUCACUCUCUUUUUUGCAGCAAACUGAAAAGGAAGGAAGAUUUCUUCUGUCUUUUUUUUUUCCCAUUUCGAAAAUCAAUUCUUUUUUUCUUGGUUGCAGCAUAUUAUAGAGGAACUUGAAAAACAAUAUGCUGUGGAAGAUUUUGCGAAAAUAAAACUUCCCCUGCUGGAAGUUGUUUCUUAUGGUUAGUUAACCAAUAUAUCUCUUUGACAUUUCCUAUUCUAUUUCUUGUACUUGUUUUAUAUAUUUAUUUUCGAUGCCAACUCAUUGGUGUGUAAAACCUGUUUCAGAGCCUGAACGUGAAGGUUUUAUGUCAAUCACGUCUCAAGACUUUGCGUCCAAGUUCCAAGAUUCUAAGCCAUGGCUCAUUCAGGUAUUAAUUCUAUCUAGAUUUUUUACACAGAGAUUUGUAAAUUUGUGGAGACGCAUUUCUGCAAAACUUAUACUGGAUUUUAUAAGUUAAAAACUCUCAUACUAAAGAUACAAGCAAUCUAACAUGUUGAAGAUCUGAUUUUUUUUUUCUGUUAAAAAAGAAAAUGUUGGCAUGCGUUAAACCAUAUUUCUCUUGGAAUCUCUUUAUGCUACAAAGUGAGGGAGUGCAUGUUGUCCUUCACAUUAGCGAUAUAAGAUUUUCCUUUUGGCCUGUACUAAAAUUAUAAUUUAUUGGUAUAAUGCAAUGCUACAUCUUAAUUAACGUCUAAAUACAUGUAGGUGUAUUCUUCUGGUAGCAAAAGCUCUGCCCAUUUCACUACAGCUUGGAGAAGGAUUGGUAUGAUUUCGCUUUCGGUAGUAUGUUUAAAGUGCAAAAGUCUCGCCAGCCUUUGUUAAAGUAUGAGACAAUUGAAUUAUAAAUUGAACAGCUAGAACAUUGCGUAGAGCAAGGGGAAACUCAAGUAUCUGGAAUAGACAGAGUUAGUUUUCAGGAAAUAAAUAUGGUGUCUAUCAUUUUAAAAGCAAGUGUAACAAUAUGAUCGCAACUUGAUGUCAAUAGAUAUGUUUUAACAGAAAGUAGGAGGGAACACUAAUAUAAUAGCUAAUAAUAGAAUAGCAUAUUUUGCUGUGGAUGGAAUCAUUUUACCAAUUAUCUUGCUAUGCUUAACUUUAUUUUAUAAUAGCAGUUGCUUUGUUGGAUGGGGUUGCUAACCAUGCGAUGUUAGAGCUUGGCGAUGUUCAACUUGUGACCUACCUUGCUGAGAAAAAACCAACAGGACAAGUAUUUUUUAGAAAAGGUAAGUUAUCACUUUCCUCAUCCUGCCAAGAACCUACACGAAAACUGAGAAGAAUAAACGCAGAAGUCAAUAAAAAGUAGACUGAAGUAAGUUGAGAGGAUCCAUUGGAAAAAAAAAAGCAGUGAGGAUCUGCUUAAACAUAAUGGUUCUAGAAUUUUGUGUUUGUACUUAGGAAGUAUAUUACAUCCAGUAGAUUUGAAAUCUUGAACAUUAAAAUACAAAUUCGUGUAUACAUUCACACUUGUUCGAUUAUGGCUAUGGUUUAUAUUUCAGAAAGGUGUCAUGAUUGUCUAUACCUUGGGGUAAAAUGUAUGGAUUUUUGCUCCUGUUAUAACAUCCUAUUAUGCAGGCCUUCCUUCAAUCUUCUCUUUCCCCCCGAAUUGCAAAACCGCAGACUGCCUCAUCAGGUAGCUCACUGACUGAACCCUUUAGUUUAGCGGAAAAGGCAUAAAAUUCUGCACUCUUUAUUGGGUUGUGAAAAUUUUCUUGGAGUAGUCAUUUAGAUGAGUUUCUUGCUUCAUUUUCCUUAUUUUCCAGAAUAAUAAUUCAAAUAUAUGUACUUGUUAGGUUUGAAGGAGAGCUGUCAGCAGAUGCAAUUACCGAUUGGUUCGCGACCACUGUACUGGGUUUACCUAGAGUAUUCUAUCACACAAAAGAAACACUGGUAUGCUUUCUUUAAAGCCAUCUUAAUGAUGAAUUUAGAAUUUUCUUACAGAUGACAUAAGUUUUUGAGGUAGUUUAUCUUCCAUACUGCCUCGAGAAGUGUCCGUCCAGUCAGACCUUUCAGUACUUGAUUAUCAUAACUGUCCAGAAACAGCAAAGACACUGUUUUUGGAGAGAGGGAUCUAGGUUUAACCAUGUUAGGAACUUUUUUAUUGGGAAACUUUGAUCUGGUUUACUGCAAAGCUGCAGGCCUUUUAGUACCUGAAUCAUUUUGAAUUCUUCCGUGUCAUGGUCUAUAAGAGUGAGACCGUUUUGCUUACAUGUUUUCUUCAAUUUCAUGCAAAAUUUUCUGGAGUCUAGUUAAGUGGUGAUAUGUUGGCAUUUGUUGGAUAUUUCGACUGUUUCCUUUUUUUUCAGGUAACUAGAUUUUUUUUUUUUUGGAAAUAAUUAGAAAUAUAUUGUUGCAUACAGGUACCCAAGUUCCUCUCCAAAGUUCCACCUAAUAAGGUUUGUUUAGCUUUUUUCUAUUUCUCUUUAGAAUUUAUCCUUUAUCAAGCGUUCUUUCAUCCUAUGAAAUUAAUGAAAUACUAAUCAGACAUGUAAUAGUUUUCCGCAUCACAUCUACUACCUAAACCCUUUUUUUGUCUUUUUUCUUAUUUUCCCCUUGCUCAAUAGGUGAAAGUCAUUUUAUUCUCACAAACAGGAGAGCGAGCUACUCCUAUUGUUCGCCAAGCUGCAAAAGAUUAUUGGAAUUUUGCUUCUCUAUCUCACGUGCUUUGGAGAGAAGAGGAUGCAUCUUUCUGGUGGAAUGCGUAUGUCACUGCACUUCUAAGUCUGUUUAUCUGCAUUAGUGUCUAUUGCUUAUGGGAAAGAUUUCUUGUCAAUAAAUGUGGUUUGGUGGUAUCCUUUGAUUCUCCCACCGCGUAGUUAGAUAUUGGCUCAUCUCGUAUUUCUUCUCUUGUAACAGGUUGGAGGUAGAAUCUGCACCUGCCAUUGUGAUUAUGAAGGAUCCGGGUUCAAAACCUGUUGUUUAUCAUGGUCUUUCACCAUCUUGAACUGAGUGUUUUAAAUUACUGAUAAUGCAUGAUUAGGAAACUGAUUGGAUAAUAAAUUCCUUCUUGCAGGAUCUGGCAACCGUACAUGGUUCCUGGACAUUUUGGAGCAGAACAAGCAAUUACGUAAUCCCUAUGCUUCCACUAAUUAUAUGUUCAGUAUAUUUGGUUUCUGCAUGUGCUUUUCUUUUUCUACUGAGCUGAGUUUUUAGUCUGGUAGAUGAAUCGUUUUAAUUGGUUUAUGAUCAUUUUUCUUAAAAGAGCUUCCUCAACUAAGAAGCACAACAUCAAUGGAACUUGGUUGUGAUGCACGGGGAUACUCUCGAGCUGGUUAUGAUAAAGCGACGUGGUACUGUGCCAUCCUUGUUGGAAGACAAAGCGUGGAACUCAAUAAGAUGAGGGAAGUGAGUAAAAUCUUUUUUUCAACAUCAUCCAUUUUUAUCUGAAGUUCUUGUCUCCUUCCUGAUAGAGUUUUGUCUAAUCUUACAAGUUUGUAGACCAUGUGCAGGGUACAAGAUGCUUUGUCAAAGUAUGACGAAUCAGAUGAGGCUUCCAAGGAUCCAUUAAUAACUCCAGCAGCUUCUGCACACAAAACCAAGCGGCUAUCAUUUGCGUGGCUCGACGGAGAAGCUCAGAAUGUAAGUAUACUGGCCAGAACCCUAGAUCUUGAGAUCUGUUACUUACCACCAUCCUGACUCCCUCUGGAUUUGUCAUCCAGAAAUACUGUUUCUUCUAUGUUCAAUCGGAAACCAGCUAUGACACGUGUGGAACUAGGAGGGCACCAAUUGAUGUGCCUAGGAUACUGAUCGUUCGGUACCAUAGAAAUGCUACAGAAACUGCUAAUGUAGAGCAGAAAUCAAGUAAAUGGCCCAAAACUGUAUGGCAAUCUGAAGCUGAUGAUGUUGAUCCCGCUGCACAACUUGUUGUUAGUUACGACGGACCAGCUGAAACUCCCGAGGUACAGUAUUCAACAAACACCUAUGAUUAACAAAUCUGCAUUCUAUUUUCUGGUAUUAACUUUGUUACAUUGCUUGUUAACUGUUUUGUAGAUCAUCAAGUGGCUAUCGAAAAUGGUUGAUGAUGGUGACAACAGAAACCUACCUUUCUAUGUAAUCACCUCCGUUUUAUUCAUUAUUUACAUGUUCCUUAUCGCAUAUCUCAUUUGAUCUUUCGCUUUAAUAUGCAGAGAGCUAAAACUCCAGAACUUGUUCCUGAAAACGCUGAACCAAUGAGAUCAGGAAUCCCAAAAAGCAUAAAAGCAACUCAGAAAUUGUUGAGCUUAUGGAACAGAAUCAAAGACUACCUAGCUGAUCCAAGAAUGGGACCUACAUUGCUUCUAGGAGCUUUGUUAUCUGCAGGCAAUGUUUGGUGGAUGAGAAGCCGAACAUCAACACCACAACCUGCUCAGACAAAUCAGCCAUCACCAAAUCAACCAGACGAUAACGUAACAAUGAAAUGAUUCAUAUAAAAAUCUCAGUUUCGACAUAAACCCUAAUUAAGAAAGAUUGAUGAUUGUUUUACAGGUGGAGGAGAAGAAGAAGAAAGAGAGAAAGAGAGAACAACGAAGAAAGAAUGCAAAGGAAAAAGAGGUUCCUGCUUCGAUCACUGAUAACGAACCUAAAGAUGCUGUCCAAAUUCUAUCUUCAGGUUCCGAUUCUGACUAAUAUUAUUAACCCUUAGGAUUCUUCUGACCUUUUUGUUUUGACAUUUAUAUUAUUUACGGUGUUUUAAUUUUAAAGUUGCUAAAUUCAGUAAUUUACAUUUAUCAUUUUGAACACUUAAAAAUAUUCGAUCCCCUUUUGCCAGUGUAAUACCAUUGUAUCAAAGGCCAAGUAAUUACCACAUUUUAGAUUUCCUAAUUUUGAAAGAAAAACACAAACUUAUAAAACUAGCAAUAAAGCCAAUUUCCUUACUUUUUAUAUCGGGACAGAAAGUAAAAUAUAUUUUUAUUAUAUUUUUAUAUUCUUUAAUUAUAGAAACCAGAACUAUAUAGAAACAUACCAAAUCAAUAUAUAUAGGUGUGUGUGUGUGUGAAAUGUUUGAGAAUAAUUUCUAAUUUGACUCAAAACAAUCAGAAAAUAAUUUUUCAGAAACCCAGACAAAAAGUAGGGAAUUUACAUAAGACAUGUCAUAUAGGUGUAAAUCGGAUAUAUUUAGAGACGAAGUGCUGCUCUUUUUUUUUUUUUUUUUUUUUUGGACAAAAGAGAUGAAGUGCUGCUCUAUUUCUUGAAAAAUGACAAAACUUUUGGGUGGGCCUUAAUUUCUUUAACCUUAUUUGGCAAAUUUAUUGCCCAUCUUUGUUUGCUGUCAACAUUUUUGGAAAUUUUCUUCUAAAAAAGGUUUAUUUUUUUUAAUCAAGAUAUUGAACUGUCUAUAUUCCUGACCAACCGUGCUGCUCCAUAUGGGACAAUAACCUCUCUAGUGCGGUCCAUGAUAUAGGUCUCCAUGAGGCUCACGACAACACCAACCUUAUCUCGUGUUUCAGUUCACUUCAACCACAGAGUAAAAAGGAAAAAAAUUCAGACCAUUAGUUGAUGGCAAUUCUCAGGAUAAUUAUAUUCAGUUGAUGUAAUUAUAGCUUCUUCUUUUUUUCUUUUAUUUGUUGUGAUUAUGUUCUUCGUUGUGUUUUCUUUAGUAUACGAUAUGGACAAUAAAGUAAAUCUUCCCAAAUAUAUGCAACUAAAUAUUCACGGCUUGAAACAAAAGCACAGCAACUUGAUAUGCAAGCAUAUCUCAACAGUUUACAACAUAUGACAACAAUGAAACGCUGAAAAAAAAAUAGCUUUCCAAACUAUUGAUAAUUUCUUGGGUAAAAUCGUUCUCGAAUUUUAAUGUUAAACUAUUUAAAACAAAUAUACACAUAUAUAUAUAUAUAUAUAUAUAUAUAUAUAUAUAUUCAUUACAGUAUAUUCAUCGUUAACGUUGACAAGAAAACGAACGGACCCAAUAUCAUAAUGCGGCUUAUCUCUAUUCUCUACGCGUCCAUUUGUGUGAACGUCGUAUUAAACUAUCAUUAUCCUAAAAUGAGACUUUUUUAUUUUUAAAGCACGUUAAAUUUAACGAACAAGUAAUUUAAGCACGUGAGCGAUGAUUAAAAUAGCAAUCAAAUCUUCAACUAACAAGUGGGAAACUAUAAAAGACAACAAUAAUAUUUUUGUAAGAAUUUCUAAGAAAUAAGUGAACUGUCUCAUAUCUUUUCAUUUUGUUUCUAAUAAUAUUUUCUACGAUAACUUUGUUGUUCAUACUAUAUGCAUAGUAACUCUUCCCAAAAAAAAAAAAAUUUCUAAAAAGUUUAAAUUCAUUCUUACAACUGCUAGCUACACAACGCUUUAACAGAUAUAGAACGCAUUCUCGAAUGUUUUUCUGAUUUUUUUGUAUUUUAGAGAAUACAACUCAAAAUAGUAUAUUUGAAAUGCAUUCACGUGAUCUACUUUAAUAUGUAUACGAUUUAAUUAUUUCUGCAUCAGUCUUAGUCUAGUGUUAUAAUUUUUUUUGUUAACCAUGUAAAUUCUGAGCUAAAACUCAAACUAAUCUCCACAUAUGCUUAAAUUCAAAAUUUUAGCCGCUUACAAAUAUAGAACUGCAAUGGAUGGUCAUCGAUUAGCCAACAUGACGAAUCCUCGACUAAUAUAACAUUGGAUGAAUCGUAACACCUUCGUACAACCUCCCUUGAAAUUUGAUAUCACUACAAAAAAAAGGUUGAAUUGAAUCACUUAAAUUGAAUCACAAAACUAAAUGAUAUUGUUUUAAAUUACUUAUUAAUAAUUGAUACAAAAAUUAAAAUGUAACAUCAUUUGUAGUAAUCGAUGUAGUUAUUAAUUUGUAUGACAUCAAUUGAUUAAAACUGAUGCAAAUCUAAAUUAAUCUGUAUCACUUUUACAUAUUGAUACAAAUAUAUAAAUUUACAUCAAUUAAAUAAUUGAUUCAUCUAUUAAUUUAUAUUAACAUCACUUAAGAAAAUGAUAUUUAAUUUACAUCAAUAAAAAGUGAUGCUAAUAAAAAUUAUUUUAAUAACAUCAAUUUUUUUAAAAAAAUUAUAGGUCCUUAAAAAAUUGGUAAUUUAGCAUCAAUUCUUUUAUGAUUUUACAUCACUUUUUUUUUUAAUUGCCGAUCUAAAAAUUUCCCUUUUCUUUUCAAUUUUUUCGUGGGUGUCUUUUUUUUUUUAAAACAAAUCUAGUCUAAUAUUUUUUUGGAAACAGAAUAACCAUUUACCUUUUUCCCACGAUUACCAAUCUCCCUAGAAUCCUAACUUCUCUAAUAUCUCUAGAAAUAUACGUUUCCUUGACACUAUCUAUUAGAUAUUAUUUUUUUUACAUAACUUCUUCUUCUUCUUUCUUUUAUCAAUAUACAAACUUUGUAAUGAUUUUCCCUUUCAAUAUACAAACUUUGUAAUGAUUUUCUCUUUCUGUGCCAUCCAAGCGCAUAUAGAAGAACGAAACGCCAAAAACAUGCCGUCAAAGUUAAACCGAGUCAAAUUGUUUAUGUCUAUUCUAGUGUAACCGGUGAAGAAGUCGGAGCCGCCAAUUCUCAGUCCUCUCGGUCUCACUCCUAAUUAAGAAGAUCGGAGAAAAAAAAGCCAACGGUGUACAACCUUCAGUCUAAUGUCACGGUGGUUCCAUUUGGUAUAGCUCUUGCCUUUAACGUCAAGGAGCCGGAGAGAGAUCGUGAGAAGGUUAAAAACAUAAAGCACAAUGAAUUUUUUUUUUUGAGACCUAGAGUUAUCGUAAAGGAGCUUAGCGGGUCGUGAGGAAGGCUAUAAGGACAUCGUCUCUGUGUGAUUCACCGUUGAUGGAAAAUAUCCAAAGGAUUUUCAGCAUGAGAUUCAAGGUUUGGUCGAGAUUGAUGUACCGGAGAAUUAAGGAACAAAAGUUGUUUAUGGUUUUACGUUUGUUUUUGACUUUUGAACCAUGUCUCGUGUUCUUCUAUGAAAUUUAAGAUUAAUAUAUUAUUUUAUUUAUAAUUAUUGAUUAUUGAAGAAAACACAUUAUUAUAAAUAAUUAUGAAAACUAAAACUAAUUUUAUAAUAAUUGAUAAAAAAUAUAUUUUUAACAUCUAUUAUUGUAAAUGAUACAAUUAUUUGACAUUUAUUAAUGACAUUAAUCUUAACAUCAUUUUUUUACAACUGACGGAAAUAUUUAACAUCACUUAUCAUAACCGAAAUAAAUACUAACAUCACUUCUACAAAUUGAUAGAAAAGGUAGUAUCAUUUUUGGCAAUUGACACAUAUUGAAAUCGAUUAUAACAAUUGAUGCAAAAAUAAAAUAAAUUUACAUCGGUUUCUAAUAAAACGAUGUAAAUUAUUUGCAUCACCAUUUUCAGAGUCAUUUUAAUAAGUGAUGUUAAAUUUCUUUGUGUCAAUUAUAAGUAAUGCAAAAAUCCAAAAUAAAUGAUACAAUCUACCCUUUUUUUUGUAGUGUAUAUUGCAGCUUUGGUUCUUCUAAAAUAUAUCUUUAAGAUGAGAAAGAAAACUCCGAACAUCUUAUCAGAAUUUUACGAGUUUAAAGAGCUAAUAAGAGCAUCAUGGAAUGGAGAGUUGCAGACGCCAAUGGCGUUAAAUGAAUUGAAAGAAAAACUACAGCAGUGGAACAAGGAUGUAUUUGGUGAUGUCCAGAAAAAAAAAGAAGCCUUGAUGCGGGAUAUAAAGGCUAUUCAGGAUGAGUUGGAGCUUGUUCAGACUGAUUCUAUGUUGAGGAGGGAAGAUGAAUUGGUGAAGGAGUUUGAGGUGAUAUUGGAGCAAGAGGAGAUACUUUGGUUUCAGAAAUCAAGAAAGAAAUGGAUAGCUCUUGGUGACCGGAACACAACGUAUUUUCACACGUCUACCAUCAUUCGGCGUAGGAGAAAUCGGAUUGAGAUGCUACGGAAUAAUGAAGAACAUUGGGUCUCGGACCCGCAAGAGUUGGAAAAGCUGGCUGUGGACUAUUACCAACGAUUAUAUUCAUUAGAUGACGUACCUAGGGAGGUUGAGAGACUACCACCAGAAGGGUUUGCUCCGCUUACACGGGAGGAGAAGCUGAGCCUAAAUAAACCUUUUACAGCUGCGGAGAUAGAAGUAGCAAUACGGAGUAUGGGAAGCUUUAAAGCACCAGGGCCUGACGGGUUUCAGCCAAUUUUUUUUAUCAAAAAUGUUGGGAGACGGUUGGAAGAUCUGUGACAAGAUUUGUGCUUGAUUUUUUCGCAGCGGGUGUUCUUCCACCGGACACUAACGAUGCCCUAGUGGUGUUGAUAGCCAAGGUCGCUAAGCCGGAGAAGAUCCAGCAGUUUCGUCCUAUUAGUUUGUGUAAUGUCUUAUUUAAGACGAUUACAAAGACGAUGGUUUUACGCCUUAAACGGGUGAUUUCAAAACUAAUAGGACCGGUGCAGUCAAGCUUUAUACCAGGGAGGCUGAGUAUCGACAAUAUUGUAGUGGUACAGGAGGCAGUAAACUCGAUGAGAAGGAAAAAAGGUCGAAAAGGUUGGAUGUUAUUAAAACUAGAUUUGGAGAAAGCAUACGAUAGAAUCCGGUGGGAUUUCCUGGAGGAUACUAUACGGGCAGCAGGGUUUGAAGAGUGCUGGGUACAGUGGAUUAUUCAGUGUGUAACGGGACCGUCUAUGUCAAUUCUUUGGAAUGGGGAGAAAACGGAUGCUUUUAAACCAUCUCGGGGGCUGCGACAGGGAGACCCAUUAUCCCCAUACUUGUUUGUGUUGUGUUUGGAGCGGUUGUGUCAUAUGAUUGAUCGUUCGAUUGCCGUUAAGGAUUGGAAGCCAAUAUGUUUAUCGCAGGGUGGACCUUGACCCUCACAUAUUUGCUUUGCCGAUGACUUGAUCUUGUUCGCGGAAGCAUCAGUCUCUCAUAUUCGAGUGAUCCGUAGGGUGUUGGAGAAUUUUUGUGUAGCUUCAGGCCAGAAGGUGAGUUUGGAGAAGUCCAAAAAAAAUUUCGCUGAAAAUGUAUCAAGGGAGUUGGGUGAGUUGAUAAGCAAUGAAAGUGGAAUUAAGGCUACUAAGGAGUUGGGAAAAUAUUUAGGGAUGCCUAUUUUACAGACGAGGAUAAACAAGGACACGUUUGGUGAAGUACUUGAAAGAGUUACAUCGAAGCUGGCCGGUUGGAAGGGGCGAGCCUUGAGUUUUACGGGGAGGCUAACAUUGACAAAAUCAGUGAUCUCAGCUAUACCGGUACAUGUCAUGAGCACGAUAGUGUUACCAAAAUCAAUAGCGGAGGGAUUGGAUAAGGUGGCGCGGGCUUUCUUGUGGGGAAGUACCACGGAAAAAAAGAAACAACAUCUCAUAGCGUGGGAUCGGGUUUGUAAACCACGAGGAGAAGGAGGUUUGGAUUUAAGAAAGGCUAAAUAUAUGAAUAUUGUUGGUGUCGGAUCCCGCACCAGAAGUACGAGACCAACCAAAGAUUGCCACGUAGUCAAGAUAAUGACCCAUAAAGAAUGAAGUCCGUUGGACCCAGGAGUCAAAGGAACGGUCGAAGUGGCUGUCACCACUUCGAGAAUCCGAAGUGAUUACAUUGCGACAUGAGUUCGAUGAAGAAGGCAUGGGUAAGAUGGUUCAAGGAUAUUUGGGCCGAAAAGGCGAGGCCCACGAAGAUCGGAGUCAACUCAAAUUCAAACGUUGAGCAUUAAAGUCGAAGAAUCAAAACGGACACAUUUAAGAAGGAAUAAUUGUGCUUUAUUACUCAUUUUAAUGUCGUUUCUCUAUGUAUAAAUAUCGAGGCCGAUGGCCAUGUAAGGGGGAUCUUCCUCAGAGGAGAGAAAUAUAUAGCAAAUUUUGUAACAAUUCACAAGUUUUUAUACAUUCAUUUUUGUCUCUCAAGAAUAAUCUUUCCCACUUAAUAAAAUACUUGAGUGUGUGAAUCCGACAUCCACAUUUUGGCGCCGUCUGUGGGUAUAUUAGGUUCUUGAGUGGUCAGAUUUUUUCUUUAUCACACUUCCGAGAUAAGCAACAAUGUCCGGAGGAGACGCCGCUGAGACAUCAUUGGCCGAAACCCUCAAAGCUAUGCAGCAAACCAUGUCGGACAUAUUACAAAAGUUCUCGGAUGUGGAAAAGGCCGUCGAUACGUUGCAAACAUCCCAGGUAUCUCUUAGUCAAAACGUCAAUACUAUACAAACUCGUGUUCGUUCUUUAAGUGCAGGAAACCCGAUGGGAAUCCGAAGAGGGAUAUUCAACUCGCCAAGUUCCGCUGCACGAAAUGAAACCAGCGGACAAACAACCCCCGGUGCUACUAAUAAUGUAGCUCAGACGUUGGAGGAAGAGACGCAACUCGGGGAUGAAGAACAACUUGCAGCUCAGUACGAGCAGGAGAACCUCGACCAGUUCGAAACCAUGAGGAAGGUUAGCCAGGAAUUAAAAGAAAUGAAAUCAAAGUUUCAUCAAGCUACAAGUUCAGAGCCAGACAUCAAUCGAGUCAUUGAAGAGGCUAGGCGAACACCUUUCAUCUCGCGAAUAGCAAGUUUGAGGAUCAAAGAUUCCCGAAAACUUAAGUUGGACCCUUACAGCGGAUUGGAGGAUCCAAAAAACUAUCUCGCAGCUUUUCUGAUCGCUGCAGGAAGAGUCGAGUUGGAUGAAGCUGAUGAGGACGCAGGCUACUGCAAGCUUUUUUCGGAGAAUCUAUGUGGCCAAGCUCUAAUGUGGUUCACCCAAUUAGAGCCGGGUUCGAUCAGUAAUUUUGACGAACUAUCAGCCGUAUUCUUAAAGCAAUACUCCAUCCUUAUGGAUAAAAGCGUUUCAGAUGCCGAUCUUUGGAACUUAUCGCAAGGAUCUAAUGAGUCACUUCGAGUUUUCAUCACCAAAUUCAAAGGAGUGCUGUCAAAACUCCCAAGAAUCUCGCAGCAAUCAGCUUUGUCUGCCCUACGAAAAGGAUUGCGACAUGAUUCAAGAUUUAAAGAAGACUUAAUACUUCAUAAACCAGACACAAUUCAGGAUGCACUCUUUCGCGCAAACAACUGGAUGGAGGUAGAAGACGAAAAAGAAAGUUUUGCCAAAAGAAAUAAGCAAGAAAAGCCAGCAAUCACCGUUCCUGCCAGGAAGUUCGAGCCUAGGGAGAGCAAGGGACCAAAGAAGUUUGGGUCGCAACCCUUCAACAAUACCGUUGGAAAGCAAUUCCAAGGGAAAGGAAGAUCAAACACUUGGGUCCGUGAUGAAAGUCUAUAUUGCGACAUUCAUAAAGUAACCGGACAUUUAACCAAGGAUUGCAGCGUUCUUAAAAAGCACCUCGCAGAGCUUUGGGCUAGUGGCGGUCUUUCCAAAUUCGAUAUAAAAGAGUUUGUGAAGGAAUACCACGAAGCAAAGGAAAACUCCAAAGAUCAAGAUUCCAAAAGACCAAGGUUAUCCAACGAGGAAGAACCAAGGAGUUCGAAGGGUAAGAUCAAUGUGAUUCUAGGAGGUUCCAGAUUUUGCGGAGAUUCAAUAAGUUCCAUCAAAAAACAUAGACGAAAUGUCUUACUCAAAGCAAGCUUGAGCGAAGAAAUUGAUUUUCAAGGUGCUUCAAUAUCAUUCAACGAAGAAGAAACGCGGCAUCUCGAAAGACCGCAUGACGAUGCUCUAGUCAUUACUCUUGAUGUCGCUAACUUCGAAGUAUCAAGGAUCCUUAUAGAUACAGGCAGUUCGGUCGACUUGAUCUUUUUAAGUACUUUAGAAAAAAUGGGAAUCAGCCGAGGAGACAUAGUAGGACCCCCAUCUCCGUUAGUUGCGUUCACAAGCGAAUCAGCCAUGUCUCUCAGAACAAUCAAGCUACCGGUCCUUGCCAAGAAGGUAUCAAAGAUCGUGAACUUCGUUGUCUUCGAUAAGCCUGCAGCUUACAACAUCAUCCUCGGGACUCCCUGGAUUUAUCGAAUGAAAGCAGUCCCCUCUACAUACCAUCAAUGUAUCAAAUUUCCAACAUCAAAUGGGGUAGAAACAAUUCGGGGAGAUCAAGAAGCUUCACGGACGUGUUACUUAGCUAGCCACCGUUUGAAGAUCCAAUAGCAAUUAACAAAGCCCGCAAAAGAAGGACUAAGGCAAAAAUUUCCUAGUGGGCAGGGAAAGGAGGAUGUGGUAGUCAAAGUUGUAUUGGAAGAAGACAAACCAGAUCGGAAAGUUCGAAUUGGAGCAGCAUUGACUGACCAAAUAAAAGAAGCUUUGAUCGAACUCUUAAGGAAAAACAAAGCAUCAUUUGCAUGGUCAGCAGCGGACAUGCCUGGCAUAAAUCCAAGUAUAAUUUGUCAUGAACUAAACGUAGAUCCAAGCUUCAAACCGGUGAAACAAAAAAGAAGAAAGCUUGGAGUAGAGCGGGCAAAAAUAGUAAAUGACGAAGUGGAUAAACUUUUGAAGAUAGGGUCCAUAAGAGAAGUGCAAUAUCCGGAAUGGGUAGCAAACACUGUCGUCGUCAAGAAAAAGAACGGGAAAGAUAGGGUUUGCGUCGAUUUUACAGACCUGAAUAAAGCAUGUCCCAAAGAUAGUUUCCCGCUCCCGCAUAUAGAUCGACUUGUAGAGUCCACCGCUGGAAAUGAGCUGUUAACGUUCAUGGACGCCUUCUCGGGUUAUAAUCAGAUAAUGAUGAACCCCGACGACCAAGAAAAGACGUCGUUUAUCACAGAUAGAGGUAUCUAUUGUUACAAGGUAAUGCCUUUUGGUUUGAAAAAUGCAGGUGCAACUUACCAACGGUUGGUGAACAAAAUGUUUCACAAUCACCUCGGGAAGACUAUGGAAGUCUACAUAGAUGAUAUGUUGGUUAAAUCGUUAAAAAAAGAGGAUCAUGUUAAACAUUUGGAGGAAUGUUUUGAUAUUCUUAAUAAAUAUCAAAUGAAGCUGAACCCGGCAAAGUGCACAUUUGGAGUCCCAUCCGGAGAAUUUCUUGGCUAUAUCGUGACAGAAAGAGGGAUUGAAGCCAAUCCAAAUCAAAUUAACGCCUUUCUAAACAUGCCAUCUCCAAGAAACUUCAAAGAAGUACAACGGUUGACUGGGCGGAUUGCGGCUUUGAAUCGUUUUAUCUCGAGAUCAACAGAUAAGUCUUUGCCUUUCUACCAAAUUCUAAAAGGGAACAAAGGAUUCCUUUGGGAUGAGAAGUGUGAAGAAGCUUUUGGGCAGCUUAAGGCAUACUUAACCACUCCGCCUAUACUGUUCAAACCGGAAGUGGACGAAAAACUUUAUUUGUACGUAUCAGUUUCAAACCACGCGGUUAGUGGAGUCUUGGUUCGGGAAGACCGUGGAGAGCAGAAGCCAAUUUACUACGUGAGCAAGUCAAUGACGGAUUAGGAAACCAGGUACACAAUGAUGGAAAAGCUUGCACUCGCGGUGGUAACUUCGUCUCGGAAGCUGCGUCCAUAUUUUCAGUCCCAUCCGGUUGAAGUAUUAACUAACCAACCACUCCGAACAAUACUUCAUAGUCCAAGUCAGUCCGGACGUUUGGCGAAAUGGGCGGUGGAAUUAAGCGAGUACGACAUAGAGUUCAAAAGCCGAAUCAGUAUGAAGGCUCAGGUCUUAGCAGACUUCCUGACCGAACUACCAAUACCUGGAACGAUAGAACAACCGGAGAACCAAACUUGGAAAUUACACGUAGAUGGGUCUUCAACAAAACAAGGAUCCGGAGUGGGAAUCAAGUUGGAGUCUCCGACGUCAGAAAUUUUAGAACAAUCAUUCCGGUUGUUAUUCAAUGCCCCCAAUAACGAGGCAGAAUACGAAGCCCUGAUUGCCGGACUUCGAUUAGCACAAGGAGUUGGAGCUAAGGAAAUAUUGGCUUAUUGCGAUUCGCAAUUAGUAGUUAACCAAUUUAAUGGAGAUUAUGAAGCCAAAGAUUCAAGAAUGGAAGCGUACCUCGAAGUGGUGAAGGAUUUAUCUAAAAAUUUCUCGAAAUUUGAACUAAUCCGCAUACCUCGGGGAGAGAAUACAACUGCGGACGCACUUGCAGCAUUGGCAUCAACAUCAGAUCCUGAGAUGAAAAGAGUUAUUCCAGUGGAAUGCAUUUCGGAGCGAAGCAUUCAAAACAGCAAAGAAACCCUCGUCGUUACAAGGUCUCGAGCAGCGGCACGCGACCGUGGCGAACCAGAGAUCGAACCGCCACCCAACAAACGGAGGAAGUCAAAGAGAUCAAAUACAUCUAACAAGGAACCCGUUGCUUCAGCUGAAGAUAUAAUUCCAGAAACAAUAUUAGAAACCGAACCGUUAAUCGAGGAGGAUGUUCUUGAACCAAACGAACAUCCCGAGCCAGAGCCACGAGUGUUUCGCAAGGUUGACCAAAUUCCGGCUAAAGACUUGGGGGCUGACUGGAGGGAGCCAAUAAAGCACUACAUCACGACAGGUGAGCUCCCAAAGAAUAAAUGGCAGGCCAGGAAAAUGAAAGUCGUUAGCGCAAAAUUUUGUCUGUCAAAGGAUGCAUUAUAUAGACGAGGUGUCAGUGACCCUUACCUAUUAUGUAUUUUUGGGCCCGAAGUCGAAAUCAUCAUGAGCGAAGUGCAUGAAGGAUUAUGUGGGAGUCAUUCAUCAGGACGAGCUAUGGCUUUUAAAGUUAAAAGAAUGGGGUAUUUUUGGCCUACUAUGAUCACAGAUUGUGUUAAGUACGCCCAAAAAUGCAAGCGCUGCCAACUCCAUGCACCAUUAAUCCAUCAACCGUCGGAAUUAUUCUCCUCCAUUUCCGCCCCAUACCCGUUCAUGAGGUGGUCAAUGGACAUCAUUGGACCAUUACACAAAUCGACUCGAGGUGUACAGUACCUUUUAGUCCUUACGGAUUACUUUUCAAAGUGGAUUGAAGCUGAGGCGUAUGUGGGUAUCAAGGAUUCGGCAGUGAAGACCUUUAUUUGGAAAAACAUUAUAUGUCGACAUGGAGUUCCAUACGAAAUAGUCACUGAUAAUGGACCGCAAUUUAUUUCACAAGAGUUUGAUGCCUUUUGUGCGGACUGGGGAAUUAAAGUUAGUUAUUCUACUCCGCGAUAUCCGCAAGGAAACGGUCAAGCUGAAGCCGCGAACAAGACAAUAUUAAGCAACCUCAAGAAGCGCUUAAGUCAUCUAAAGGGAGGAUGGUAUGAAGAACUCCAACCCGUCCUGUGGGCCUAUCGUACAACCCCUAGGCGACCUACAGGAGAAACUCCAUUCUCUUUGGUUUACGGCAUGGAGGCGGUAGUACCAGCUGAACUCAAUGUGCCCGGACUUCGCCGAACAGAAGCACCGUUAAAUGAGGAAGAAAAUUCAGCAAUGCUUAAUGAUUCACUAGAUACCAUAAAUGAAAGGCGUGAUCAAGCUCUAAUUCGGAUCCAGAACUACCAGCAGGCAGCAGCCCGGUAUUACAAUUCUAAGGUUAAAAGUAGGCCUUUCUUCGUGGGAGAUUACGUAUUAAGGCGCGUCUUUGACAACAAAAAAGAAGAAGGUGCCGGUAAACUCGGUAUUAACUGGGAAGGACCUUACAUUAUUACCGAAGUGGUUCGGAACGGUGUUUAUAGGUUGAAAGACUUAGAAGACAAUCCAGUCAAGCGACUUUGGAAUGUGAUCAACUUAAAGAAGUUUUAUGUUUAAAGCUAUAUGCAUUGUUUUUGUACAUGAACUACGGUGUGGCUUGAUCCCGAGAUGGGUACGUAGGCAGCUCGGAAACGAGUUCAGCUAUUAAUAAAAAUUGGUUUUAUUUCUUUAUUAAAGGAAAAAGGUUCGAUCGUGCGAACAAAUGAAGCAAAUAAAGGUUCAGCUAUGCGAACAUACAAGAGAUUGGAAAUAGAGCAUUAUUUAAAAAAAAAAAACGACAUGUCCUUCAUCGUACACUUCGGAUUAUGGGAAUCUUGUUGAUGAGCAGAACACUUCAACUCCUUGACCAGCAAGAUCAAGGAUCGGCAUCAUGCAGUCCGGAAUUCGAGCAAAGUCAGAAAUUCCAAGCUCAAUCCACUCUCCGGGGUGAGAUUCAAGGAUGUGAAGACUUCUUGACACUGUAGUAAGCCUGCGUUGCAUCCGGUUAAUCCUCUUCCGAAGUCUCCUCUUUUCCGACGUAAGCUUCCGGUGUUGAAGCUCGAGCGCCUCUAUAAAUGCCGUCGCCGUUCCUUGGUCUCUGAUUGGGAGAUCCCUGAUCAAAGCACAUGGGGCUCGGAUCUGAGAUCUCAAGAAGCCGCGAAGUGGAGGAGGCUGCCUGUUUGGCUCAUUUGGAACAUCUUCAUUCAUCAUUCCGAUUCUGGAGAAGUCGGGCAUAGAUUCUUAACAGCGAAGGUUGAACUCCAUACCUGCUAAAAUAAAAAAAAAAAGGGUGAGAAGUAAAGGGAAAUCGAACCUAUAAUUUAUAGGAACCCCAUAUCCUUAGCAAGCUGUGGAUUCUAUCCAAGGAAUGGAGUGAUUCGCGGAGAGAUUCAUGCCCUCGAACAGAUCCUGCAUUAAAAGGUGCAUCUCCGAAAAUAUUUUAAAAGAGAGGAAAGUUGCAAGCGUUUCCAUAAAUAAAAGGGGGCCGAAGCCCAUUACGAGUUUUUAAAAAAAAAAAAGAGAGAGAAGAAGUGAAGAAAUUAAAGGACAUUUAUGGGAGAGGCUCAGGAACAGGCUCCUUCAUCGCCGGAUUAGUCUCCGAAGUGGACGCCUUGUUCGUGGCAUUCACCUCGGAACGAUCCCGAACGCGUUUCCGGCAGUUGCUGGCCUCCUCCUCCAAGUCCUCUUCCUCUUCACUGUCGAAGGGAACGGCGCAGACAGGGGCGUUCACGGGACCCGGGACUCCUCUAGCGCGGAGAUACAUCCGAAGCAUCUUCGGGAUUUCAGCAACGGAGUCGAAGUUCCGCCACUCCCACUGAAAGGGAUCGCUCUCGAAGGCCCGUAUCUUCCUUUCCACCCGAGCGAUGCGAGCCUCGAGCGUCUGCCUUUUGAGUCCCAGCCGCUGCCUCUCUUCACACAAGCGACGGUGCUUGUCGGCAACCUAACAUAAAAAUGAGUGAAUAAGACGAAACAAGAAGUUUUUAAAUCAAAAACUUUAAUAGUUACCUUGUCAAUAAAAUCGCAAGCCUCUUUCUUCUCCUUCGAAGGAAAGUGAAAGACGGCGUGAGGGAAGAGAACGCCGGCCGGUUCAAAGCCGUCGCCGGACAAGAAGAGUGGGCUGCCGGGAUCAACGGGGGCUACUGUUUCGUUUUCCAUUCUUAAAAUAUUUCUCAAGCAAGAUUCUAGAGUCAUGUUUAAAUAAAGCUUAAGAGGUAGGUGAGCCUUUAUUUAUAAUGAUUUAGGGUUUGUCUUGGAACCAUAAAUCCAUUAAUGGUAGCGUGCCCAAGUGGUUUAAACCAUUUUUGGAAAAUCGAGAAAAGGCAAUUAUUGCAUUAAAAGACGAGCCGUUUUCCUUGAGAAGGGAAAGAGCAACCGUCGCAUUAACUACAAAAGUUUCUAAGGCCCAAGCCCAACAAGUUUACCGAGUUGACUAAACCCGAAGUGGGGAACUCGCUUUAAGCCGAGCUCAGCUCUCGCAUUCUAAAGAGAAAGGUCUGAUCAGCCUAAAAAUCUCGAAAGCAUUGCCACAAGGCCACAAAAGGUUAAAAGCGGACUUUGCAAACCCGCAUAUAAUUUUAACCAAACCCCCUGGGGUCACAACCUAGAAAGGUUUAAAAGCCUCCUCAGGCAAAUAUCUUGUUCAAAAGAAACAAUAAAGCCUUCUUAGGCCAAAAAUAAGUUUGGAAUUAAGUCUUAAAAUUAAAGGGACAAUCCCCAAUUUAAAGUGGACAUAGCCACUACGGAGUGAUCUCCACCUCGGACUCCGGCUCAGCAAUCAGAGUUUCAUUCACCUCCUUGACUGGUGAUUGAUCAGAUGAAGCUCCCUGACCACCCUCCGCGGUACAACCAACCUCCGGAGUGACCUCCGGCACCACAGGAGCUACGGGCGGGACAAUGCCUUCCGUCUCGCUUGAACCUAGAAAUAAUAAUUCCAGUCAAUCAAAGGUACAAGGUAAGAAAAGGUAAGCCUCAGGAGCCAAGCGUUACCUGCCCAGUCUAAACCCGAUUCACUUAUAGGAGGUGAUUCAGUAAAGAAUUCCUCGAAGUCAAGCGGGUUGAAGGUCGAAGUGGGAAGAGCUGCCAAGCGACUCCGUUUUUCAGAAAGAUUAGUUGACAGCUCAGUCCUCUCUUGCUCCUCAGAGAAAUCUGCUUCAUGGAUUUGAUCCAGCAGAAUCAGGUUGCUUUCAUGCUCUUUGAUGUCUGACUCUAAGUCCGACCUAGCCUUCUCAGUUUGCAUGAAGCGAAUGGCCCCUUGGAUCAACUCCAUCCCGCGUCCCUUAACCUCCUUUCUGGCCUUCGAUGCCGACCUUGCCAACUCAGAAUCACGCAACUUGGCUAGCGCCUUGGAUUUCGCGUCAAGCUCGAUAAGUUGGUUGUUCAAGGUGUCGGCGGUUGAUUCGGAUUCAUGAAGUCUACCCUGAACACCAGAAAGUUCGUCCUGGAGCUUGUAAUUCCGGUCGUAGUAGUCUUGCAGCUCCCCCUUUACUUGCGCCAGCUCGGAUGUUAACCUGUCGACCUUAUCCUCCAGAUCGUGCUUGGAGCCAGCAGAAGAAUUGAGUUCAGUCUCAAGAGCUGAGAAUUUCUUCUUCCACAUAUCAAUCUCCUUCUCCCGUCCAAUGACCAACCCUUCGUAAUGUUCGAUCAUGUCGUUAAGUUCGCUAUGAGCCUGGCAUCAUACAUGAACCCGGGAUGGCGAGUCAGUUCGCAGAAUGGCAAUACAAUAAAAAACAAAAAAAAGGGGGGAAGAAAACGGAACUAACCCGAGAUGAAUGAUAAGCGUGAAGCAAAUAGCGUUCACAAAUUGCAGGGCGCCAUUUGUUGAAAUCUGGCAAGAUUGAACCCGAACGGGUCUUGAAGCAUCGGAAGACGCUGCCUUCUGUCUCCAUAGCUGCGAAGAAGGAAGAAUUGUAAAAAUUGGAAUAAAGACAAAAAGUUUAAGCAUGUGUAAAUCACCAAACCUGAAAGCGAUUUGACUUGAGGGACAAGAGCAGGCUUCAGCCUCGAGGAAGCAUCUCGAGAUUCAGAAUCUCCACUUUUAGGGGAUGCACUCCGAGCAGUCUUUUCGCUGACGGACUGGGAAGAAGAAGACAUGUCAACAGGACGGGGAGGACCCAUUGGUUCAGUAGGAGGGGAGGAUCGAGGUGAACGGUCAGUCCGGGCCCUUGAUUUCUCCCUUCGCGGAGACAAGUCAUCACGGGACGACUUGUCCCUCUUCUUACGAACCAAAUUCUUAAGUGGUUCGUUGCUAAAAUCGUCUCGGGGAGGACGAGGAGAAUCAUGACGAGGAGACCGCUCUCUCCGAGGAGAACGCUCGUCGCGGCGCUCGCGGCGAGGUGUUAACCUAUAAGCAGCAACGGAUCUGGCUCCCUCGGAGCUGUUGUCAUCGACCAGCAGGGUCCUGCUGUAAUCUUUUUUGUCAAUGGCGGUCGCAAGGAACGCCUUGUUUUCAUCACAAGCCUCUGCUAUCGGCUUGGAGAGUUUCUUACGCUGGGCAGCGAGGGCCCGAGCUGACAUUCCCUGAGUUGAGGGAGGAGGCGGAAGACGAUGAAGUAGAUUGGGAGGACUCAUCCUGAGUUUCCGGUUGGCCUCGACAAACCGGUCGAGGGUGAAAGAAUUCCAAAGGGUUUCCCCUUCAAGGAUUGUUUUGAAGAACUUGACAAAUUCUUCGGUCGGGAGAGUUGAAGCGAUGAAAGCUGCGAAAUGAAACAACGAAUUCGGUCAGUAAAAAAUAAUAAUAAACAAUAAAGGAAUAUACGACCUAGUCUCUACCAGGUUUCGCAGACCACUUCGAUGGGAGUACAUCGGAAAGAUUCCCAAUCGAAGCGGGAGUUUUCCUAAUCAGAAACCAAGGAUGGUGCCAGUUCUCAUCCUUGUUCGGGAGGUGCGAGAUGACGUUUCUAUUGGCAUUUGGAUACGCUGAGAAGUACCCAGUUUUCUUUGAUGAACUCCUUACGCUUAGGAGUUCAUUCAGCUCGGGGACUCCAAUGACGUAGCCGGCCUCCACCGCAACGGUUAUAAUCCCGAGGAUGGUUCGGAGGAGAUUGGGGGUUAAUUGAGGUAAAGCGAUCUCGAGAGCCGCCAAGAAUCGAACUAGGGCUUCAGGAAGGGGGAAGGUCAAUCCGCAGCCCUUGAAGUAAAUUUCGUAAACACAAAAGUAGCCGGCACGGUGGUUCUCAGGAGAUUCCGUAGGGUCGGCUAUUUGCGCCUCCGCUAUAAUUCCAGGAGGAAUUUGACAAAGUCCCUUCAAUCGCUCAAGGGAUUGAAGAGUACAGAUGGAUUUGUAAUGAGGACCGGCGAUGUCGUUAGGACGAGUGCAUUCGUCAUUACUAGAACGCCUCUCGUCGUAAGACGGAGAUUCAGGUCUUUCAGAAUCAGAAGUCAUCGAAUAAAAAUGAAAAAUUCAAGAUCCGGCGAAGAGAAGUUUUUUGUGAAGAAGAGAAGAGAGAGUUUUUGAUUAAAGUACAAAAGUAAAAGAAGAGAGUAAUGGUGAAAAGAAGUUACCUCAAGCUAAUGAUGAAACCGCCUCGGAAGUCGUGUGGGAAGUGGGAAGGUUUUUUCCGUUUUAAUAGUAAUUAAACAAUAUACGGUCAUAAUGAUGACAGAUGUCACUCAGUUAAAAAAGGCUAGUGCCGAAAUUAAAGGAGUGAUGAGAUUUUCGGUGGGAAAUCAGAAAGAUUCUC